UUCCUUAAUAUUCACCGUCGAGUCAUCAAAGCCGUCAACUAAUUCAGAGGGGCUCGGCUGGCCCGGUCGCCCUACGCUACUGGCGCUUCCAAAGGCGAAGCUCUCGUCUUUGGCGACCAGCAAACUCUGGGCUAAAACCUGUAGUUUUGAAGCAAGGGAUGAGCGUGAAAGCCGUUGCGCUUCCGUACACGCGCAUACGUUUUCUUGCUCCGUCGCGCGUUAGUACAAUAACGCGCAGCCGUUUUCUUGCUGGGGCGGACACGGAUUUCUCUCUAAAGGCGAAGACUCAGAAGUGGGCGAACACUCAGCCCAGCGGGCGAACAUGCCGGCUCCGGCUCCGCGCACCUGCUGACACCUUUCGAAGCACUUUCACGUGUGAACCGAAGUCGUCUUGCCGAACUCCUUCCUUUCUCAUUUCAGUCCUCGCCUUUUUCAUCUUCCGUAGGGGCCUUUAGUCUUUUGAUUAGAGUAGAGGUCGCGAGAGAGCAGAGCGUACCGCCCUGCCAUAGUCGCGAGGAUCUUAAUAGUCGGUCGCGACUGUUGUCAUAGUCAACGACGGUUGAAACUUCUAGGUCACGCUUGAGCUCGUGAGACCCCGGUUGCCACUACUGCGGGCACUUGGCUCCUACAUGGAGGCCCAAGACCGCUAUCCAGCAUGAUGCGUUAGACAUGGCCUAAUAGAUUGAAUGUGACACAUUUUAAUACAACGAAUCUGAACAGAGAUGAUACAUUCUAAUACAACGAAUCUGAACGGAGAUUUAUUCAAAUCCGUUUACUAGGAUAUGUCACAUUCAAUCUAGGUUAUAAUAUUUUGAGACAGAGAUAGUAUCCAUAGGUUGAUUUAUCUAUCACAACUUUGUAGCUUAUGAAAAUGAAACAGUACUAAAAGAGAAACUAAAAGGAAUGCCUACACUACCUCAACCAUGACAUUCGGUAAUUGGCUUUCAAACACAGGGCCGUCAAUAAGCACGUUUGAGUAAGACGACGGAACAUGCCCCUAAAGUUUUCAUAUUUUAAUGAGUAAAUGUCACUUUGGUCCAUGUAUAUUUACCAAAGUGGUAACUUGGACCAGGGUAAAGUCUAAGUUUUCACAUGGUACCAUCUUUUUUUACCAUCCUUUGCAUAUUGUACCAGGGUUUACCGGCAACCAAGCUAAUCUUUGGUCCAACCCACGUGAACAACAGCGUUUUGGCUCGUGCGGCGGACUCGUCGCCUCGACAGUGAUGGGGAGCACGGCGGCAGCGACGACAUGCAUCUCUCAACGUCGAUGAUGCCUCCGCAAGUCCACAUACAUCGACCGCCCCGCCUCCAUCGUGUAGGGUCCCUACUCCCUCGACGUCGCCUCUGCAUACAAAUGACCGCCCCCGCCGCACCAUCAUGUAGGAUUAACACAUGGUGGGACACACCAAGCAGCCACCGUCGCUGCUGAAGAUCGUCGACGGCGACGAGAUCUAGUUGUUUGCUUCGCUGCAGCAUUAUGCUGGCGCCGCCGAUCCGGGUGAGCCCCGAGUCCAGCGUCGUCGUCAAGGAUAGCGAGAGCCGAGAGCUCGUUGCCGCCGCCGUCAUACACGACGACAUAGCCUUCCCGUGCUUCAUGCCAUGCUCCUGCAAAAUAUCAGCACUUUGAUCAGUGACCAAUUUGGGUUGAUAUAAACUCUGAAGCUAGCGGAUAAACAAGCGCAUCCAUCCGCACGCGCAUGCACGCUAGCUGCCGACUGGUUGCUCAAGUCAAGUGGGUAGCUAAUUAAGAAGAUGAUGCCUAUAGUGAUGGAGCUAUACCCUAUACUUCGUAAUAGCCAUGCCUUGUGAUCAUCAUCACGGCGAGGUCCAGCAGCCUGGGCGUGUCUGGCAUCGUCCGCAGCAGCAGCGGCAAGCAGGGACUCCUCCGGCGCCAUGGGCGGAUAUGCUACGACCUACUGUGCUCCGCUCCAGCCAAAACGCUGCUCUUCACAUGGAUUAGGCCAAAUCUUAGCUUGGUGACCCAAUUAAACGGUAAACCCUGGUGCAAUUUGCAAAGGGUGGUAAAAAAAGGUGGUGUUAUGUGAAAACUUAGACUUUGCCUUGGUCCAAGUUGCCACUUUGGUAAAUAUACAUGGACCAAAGUGACAUUUACUCUAUUUUAAUCCAUGCUUUGAAACCUAAUUUUGAAACUUUUACCAAAAAAAAAAAACACACACUUUUCACAAUUGGCAAGAACCAAAUACAUGCUGACAGCAUCACGUUACCAGCCACCACCAACAACAAACAAAACUAGAGAACGUUUCGAGCCUUUCAUGUUCCCAAAAUUUAUGCAUUAUUUUACUCUCUUAAAGAAGCGAACACGUACAGAUCGACUCCUAUUUAUUAUGCGAUUCAUUUCCUACUUAAAUUGAGACAGCACAGCAGAUCAACAAGACAAUGUAUAAUGGUAUUCAGCAGUGCGAAUCCAGCCAUGAAAUGAUGUCGUUAAUGGCAGUUGAAAUCCGGUCAUCAGGUUCACCCUCUAAGAUAGAAUGAUAUCCAUCUUCGUAGAGCUUGAGAGUCUUGUCUUUUGUGCUAGCUUUCUCGUACAGGAAUUCGCUGACAUGGGGGUCGGUAACCAAGUCUGCUGCUCCGUGGAGAAUCAGCAAUGGGGAACAAAUCUGUCAAGUAAAGAGGGUUUCGCAUUUGUAACUAUUUUUCAAAAGAAGUGAUGGCAAUGGUUGCUUCCAGGCACUGAAUAAUUUAGAAAAGGGAAUUCAACCGCUUAAAAAGAUAAGGUAAAAGCAACACUGACCUUCUCCAACUGGGAUUCUAUGUCCUUUGUAGCCUUCAAAAGUUCAACUGCUGUCCUCAACCUCAUUUGUUGGGUAUAUGAAAUGGCAUUGUACUCAGCCUGGAAGUUGAAAAUAGAGAGGAUUUAUAGCAUUUAGAUGUUUCAACAAGCUUUCUAGUACUGAUGCUUUUUUUCCAAGGUGUUAUGAUUCUUGCUAUUAACUUUUGAAAAAUAAGCAUUUUGUCAAAAAAAUAAGUACAUUCAACACUGGUGCUGGUGGUGUAACAUCUUCUGAAAUCUUGCCGAUAAUGUGCUAUUACAGUACAUUCAAACAAAGCAAGUUGAAGAUGAUAGCAUGAAAUUGGCCCAAGAAACUUACUACUUUUCUUUUACUUGGAUCUCUAAAUGCCAAAUCUCCAAUAUCUUUUUGUGGAAAUAACUUUGCUUCUGGAAGAAGGCAUGACAAUAUGCUCAAUGCCUUCAACACUGGCGCUGGUGGUGUAACAUCUUCUGAAAUCUUGCCAAAUUAAAGUCAGAACCAUAUAGACAUAUCAUACACCCAAAUAUAGAACAAGCAUAAUGAUUGGUUUAAACGCUUGCAACAAAUCAGCGUAACCGAAGAUGGUUGUUAUGAUAAAGAUCACCAAAUUUUGGUAACUUGUUCAUGCAUGAAGUAUAGUUGCAAGUAUUAUUGCACAUUGCAGUACAAAAACCAAAAAAGGGGACAUCUCACAGGUAGUUAGUAUCCAUUUCAAGUAAACUUAACAGUGGCAUUGAGUUAGUACUGCCAAUUUAAUAUAACAUUUGGUGAUAAAGUAAUUGAUAAGCCUUCAUUUACAAUGCAUUGUGCUUCCCAUGACUUGAAAGUGAACAUUGGACAAUAUACAACUAACACCCAAAACAAUAAAAAUGUUAUAGAUCACUAGAUUUGGUGAACCUUUUUCUAGAUUCUAACCUUACCUUGCACAUAGGUGCAACAAGAAGCACUCCAUCCCAUUCUUUUGGUUGUUUCAGGUGUACUUUCAAAGCCACUGCACCUCCCAUUGAUUGUCCCAAUAGAAAAUGUGGGAGCCCACGGACCUCCUUCCUGCCUAGACAUUACAAAGCAUUUCAUUAUGAUGUAUAGAUUGUAUCAUUGUAAAGCACACCGAUUCUUUGUAUGCUGGAGAUAUAUAUCAAAAACCUUUUAUCCGUGAGUAUUGUUCAAUGACAUGUUCCACCAUUCCAUCAAAGCUGGCAAUGUAGCCAUGAAGACCAUAUGAUAAACCAAAACCAGGAUAAUCCAUAGCAUAUACUGCAUAUCCUGCUGCUGCAAUUCUCUUCGCAAUCCCUGAUAAUUCCAAGAAAGUAAAAUAUGCAUAAACAAGCAGGCAACAAAAAGAGAACUCAACAGAAGAACAUAACAGUAGCAGUAGCGGAAUAAUCACCUUCGAAAAAGAAAGUGCAAGUAUCACCAUAUCCAUGGCAGAAGAAAAGUGCUGCCUUGGUGGCAGUGCCCUCCCUAGGCAGCCAACUCUUCCAGAAAAUCUCAACCCCCUUUGAAUUGGUUUCAAAAUUCUACACAGAAAGCAAUAUAACUUACUACAAAAAGAAAAAAGAAGCAAUUAAACAGCUCAUUCAAGAUUGAAAGUGCCUACUGCACUUAGAUUUGUCUUUUGAGGUCAACUGCAAAUUCAAUAUGCAAGUAACUUCAUGCCAGUAUGCCACUCCCUGUAAAAAGUUUACUUAGUGGCCUGAAUACACCACUUUCACUUUUUAAUGGAUGCCGACAUGCCAUCUUUUCCAACAGAGAAAACAUGCUGUCACAGGUAGAUUGCAUUUCUGCAAGGGAACUACUUGAACCAAAUACAAGGUAAGGUCAAUUCAAGAUCUCCAUCAAUGUGCUUACCUCUUCCAUCUGGAUUCCCUUGGGAGCCAUCUACAGAAUGAGAAAUAAGAGAUAAAUGAUUAGAAAGCAAGACCAACCGGCAUCGCACACAACAACAUUACUGGAUAACAACCAUUGAUUAUAGACAUAGUGUGUUACGCUCUGCUCUCAAGGGCGAUGAACUUUCGAAUUUUAUCAGCAUUGAUCAAAACCCAACACGCUACAAGUAUCUUUCGGUUGGCAUAAACUACAGAAUCAAAGGAUCUGACAUUCUCACUGAAUAGCUCAAUCAACAGGACUUAACUACAUAUACUGCGGCAUUCAAGCUUAGAGCUCCCUGUUCUAUACUUCUAUCCCAUGAUUAGAGCCAUUCUUAUGAGUUCAUUACGAACCCAGUAUGCUAAAAUGAAUAUGUAGUAGCACCCAAGCAGUACAAUCAACAGUACCACCGAUCCAAGAGCGACUUCACCUCAUCUUAACUGUUUACUCUACUGCUAAUCUAAAACCAUUUUUUCAAGUGGCAGGCGUACGGACCUUGAACAGGCAGUGGUCGAGGGUGGGGAGCACAGGCGCGAAGGCGCCGCGCACGCGGCGGCGCGCGGGGGCCCAGUCGAGGCACUGCGCCGCGGCGGCCCUCAGCUCCUCGCUCGCGCCCUCCAGCCUCGGCGGCUUCCUGUCCCUGGCGGCGCCGCCGGCAGCCGCCACCGCCACCGCCGCCCUCCUCCCCCCCGCGCACCCCGGCCUCGCGAGCCUCCCCGCCCGCCGCGGCGCCACCACCGCGGCGUGGCGCGGCGGCUGCAAGAUCGCCGCCAUGUGAUUCGGAGGUGGUGGGGGGACGGAGCGGAGUGGGCGUACUCCGACCUGAGAGCGAGCGAAUCAAAAUUUUUUUUUUCCACCUGUGUUAGUUUGGUUUUGGUGGGCGUUGUCUCCUCUUUGUCUGGUGCGUUUGACUGUUUCGCGGUUGCCGAGCGUGCGAACGCGGAUGUGGGCCCGCGCGGGCCAUUGGGCCCAGUCGCAAGCUGCAUCAUGUUGGGCCCAGAUGGGCUUAGGUAGGCUAUUGGGCUUUGAAAGUCUUUGGACUUCCACGCAACAUGUCUUCUUUUUCUCCUUUACUUUUUCUUGCUCUGUAUACUAUUGGGUAUUUUUAAGGAGGGUUUGAUGAUGUUAUAUACGUACCAAUCUAAAAGGAUUUGAUGAUUUGCAGACAUGUCGUUGACUUAAAGUGCCCCACGUGUUGUUACCGGGACUGUGACAUGUAAUAAUAUUUCUAAAGAGUAUAGCAAAUUACUGAAUCAUCCUUUUAAAAGAGCUUGUAGUACACUAACACUACAAGCUCUAUCUACACUCUGAAUGUGUUGUAAUUUGUUCUUGUACCCCUUUUUACAUACUAAAAGGAAAUAGAAUUUAGGUGGGGAAGCUCUUCCCUCCAUUGAAUUGGUGUUAAAAAAAACACUAACACUACACCUAGCGGUGGAGCCAUAGCUCGACGACCGGCUGUCCGGGCUUGUCGGCGCGUGCACAAUACAAUUUGGUGCUAUUAAGGGAUCGAUUAUAUUAUUAAGACAGCUCAAAAAGGCGGCACCACGUUUGUUGUGGAGGCUAGAAAUUCCCACAUUAAUCGGAGAAAAAGAAAAAAGAAAAAGAGAGUCCAAGUAAAAAUACAAUAUAAAAAUAGCUGAAAUUCGGAAUUAAAAUAAGCAAUAUUGAAAUAAGUUUCCAUAUAAGAACCCAAUGCGAGAUUAAUCUAAAUUCAAAAUAAAAAUAAAAUAAAAUCUAAAAUUAGAAAAAGAAAGGAGAGUCUAAGUAGGAAUACAAUCUAAAAAUAGCUGAAAUUCGGAAUUAAAAAUAAGCAAUAUCGAAAGAAGUUUCCAUAUAAGAACUCAAUACGAGAUUAAUCAAAAUUUAAAAUAAAAAUAAAAUAAAAUCCAAAAUUAGAAAAGGAAAGGAGAGUCCAAGUAGGAAUAUAAUAUAAAAAUAGCUGAAAUUCAGAAUUAAAAAUAAGCAAUAUUGAAAGAAGUUUCCAUAUAAUAACCCAAUACGAGAUUAAUCAAAAUUCUAAAUAAAAAUAAAAUAAAAUCCAAAAUUAGAAAAAGAAAGGAGAGUCCAAGUAGAAAUACAAUCUAAAAAUAACUGAAAAUUGGAAUAAAAAAUAAGCAAUAUUGUAAGAAGUUUCCAUAUAAGAACCCAAUAUGAGAUUAAUCAAAAUUCGAAAUAAAAAUAAAAUAAAAUACAAAAUUAGAAAAGGAAAGGAGAGCUCAAGUAGGAAUACAAUUUUGAAACAACUGAAAUUGAAAAUAAAAAAUUAAAACAUUAAAAGAACAUAAUACGGUAGUAACUAAUUUUUUUUAAAAAAAUUAUGAAAUUAGAAAAAGAAAAAUAAGAUUUCAAUUAGGAAUACAAUUUAUAAAUAACUAAAAUUUGUGAUAAAAAUAAAGACUAUUGAAAAAAAAGACCAUCUAAAACACAUGACGAGAUAAAUUAAGUAACAUGUCUAUAAAGGAGUAGAGUGGUGGCGGUUGAUACGACAUAUAAAAAUUGUUAAUAAAACACCAAAUAGAAUCCUAAUGACGAUUAAAAGGAGGAACUUCAGGUAGGCCGUGAAGCAAACAAGUAAGGCACUUGCUGGGACUUCUAGAAAGUAAAAAAAAAACCCAUUUGAUAAUCAUAUUCGAUUUUUAAAAUCUCAAUGACAAUAAAAAUGAGAAGCAGCGGGCGAGGCGUAUAGGACUAUAGUUGCAGAGCCGCCGACGGUUGACGGGACUUCUAUAAAAUUAAAAAUGAAUUCCAACGAUAGUUAUGUUCGAUUUUUAGAAUCACAAUGACAAUAAAAGAGUAGGCAACGGACGGGCUGUAGAGGGGCACAGUGACAUCGUUUGAUGGGACUUCUAAAAAUUAUAAAAAAUGAAAUUACAAGUCCAAUUUUUAAAGAUUCAGAACUUCCAAAAAGUAAAAAAACCCAAUGAUAAUCAUGUUCGAUUUUAAAAUCUCAAUGACAAUAAAGAAGGGAGGCAGCGGGCGAGCCGUAGAGGAGUACAAUGGCAAAGCCGCUGAUGGUUUGGCGGGACUUCUAGAAAGUAAAAAUGAACCCAAACGAUAAUUAUGUUCGAUUUUUAAAAUCUCAAUGACAAUAAAUAGAAGAGGAGUAUAAGGUAACGUUUGACGGGACAUCUAGAAAUUAUAAAAACAAAACCCAACGUGACAAUAAACUCUAAAAACUAUAAAAUCCAAUUUUUAAAGGUUCCAACAAGAAUGAAUAGAAAUAGUGGUAGAUCGAGCAAGCAAAUAAAGAAGGAAAUGACAUAAGGGGUAGCAACUGUGUGACUUUUAAAAACUAUAUAAUUAGAAACACGAGGAUGAUAAGGUUUGGUCUUUUAAAGUCUUAAGAUAAUGAGAUAGCUAUUUAAUAAAUUUUAAGUAAAAUCAUACUAGAAAAUAUAUGAUUUUGUUUGGGUGCUAGCCGCGCAAUUGCGCGGGCCACCCAGCUAGUUUAAGAUAAUAUUUUCAAGCACUUGACGUAGUUACAUUUGUCUGAACUGUAAAGAAUGUCUAGCUCCGCCACUUGUACCAUAUAUAUACAUCCAAUCGAUACAGACAUACAGGAGAUGGAUCAACUGACACCCAAGCAACUGCUACCAAUUAGCGCCACACUUAAUAUAUAUACACAUAAAUACAUGGAGCCACACAUUGACCUUGCAUUUAACUAAGCAUUGGUGCGUACGUAAUGCGGCAACCUGACAUGCAACCCUGACGAGAGCCAGCGCGCGGCUCGUUUUGUUGCACAGCUUGCACUGCUCGACAUGCCUGCACCUUCUCUCUCUCACAGCUGCUGCUUUCGCAUAUCUGCUCGUUUUGUUUAACCGGCACUCGAUCCGUUGCCUAAACAAUUAGCAGCUCGACAGCGAUUGGCGACGCCAACGCUGUGGAUGAUCGAGAUCGAUGCUGUCAGUUUGGUUGAUGAUGUUCUCCCCAGCUCGACAAAACGGGCACUGCAUCGGCGACCAUCUAGCUAGCCAGCAGGUGGAAAGGAGAUCCAAGUAUAAAUUUAUCGAUGGGGAUGUCAACCUCGCUUAGUUUAUACGGCCACUCAUACUUGCUCCAACUGUACAUAUAUACUAGUCAGAUGUGAGAGAAGAAGAGGUUGUAUUUUCUACUUCCAUCCACUCUAGGCAAAUUUAUCUGGAAAGCACAUAAGACAACGAAAUGAUGGUGUGAAAAUGUAAAUUAACUUACUCUCCAGACCAGAAAUAUUAGUACUCCAUUGCCAUUGCCAUUUUCGUUAUACAUAGAGAAAAUGAUAACGAUAAUGGAGGCGCUGGAGUUCGAACUCCAGCAUAUGCCCUUGUCACCAUCAUUGUCAAAUGUCAACCUAGCUCAGCGACCACUUUGCAAUCCUAAAACUUGCAGUGUAUUAUAAGGAGAUCGCUAUUAUAUAUGAUUCCUUAUAUAAAUCGUAGCUGGGCCGGGGAGACUCGGCUCGGCUCGGGUCGGGUCGGGUGAAAGCUGACCCAUGUCGUCGCAGCAGCAGUCUGCAUGUCUGCAUCGAUCCUUCGGUGCGUGACUGAUAAUAUUUGUUUAUUCAGUGAUAAGUUUCCUCUUCUUUAGUUUCCUAAACUUCUGAUGUGAUCAUCUCUGCAUGAUAAUGAUUUAAUUAUGAUCCUCUCGGUUUGGUUAUUGUUGUGUAUCACGUGAUAGUGGUGACACACAACAACUCCCAAAUUACCAUCUAGUUAACCCCCAAACUAGGUAGAAAAACCAGGGACUUCGGUUAGUUUCCUGGAAGUCUAAAACUGGAUGAGUACGGUGUGCUUUUUUUAUUGCUAAAUGUAUUUGUUGGAUAUUGUAGGGUAACUGCAAGUUGUCUCCUGUUAUUUUCAGUUUUCUAAUACUGUUAGUCCACUGACAUAUAUAUCAAUAUAUCUGCUUGAAUUGUGUCAACUCUUAAGUACUCAGAAACUUUUAGUUAUGUACGCAAUGCCGAUAUGAGCAUAUAUACUAAACAACUACCACACCGAUAACAAGAUGACAGCACUACACACACCAAGCUAUAUAGAUAGAUUGCUUCAUCUUUGUCUUAUCUUUGCUGAGUCUGAAGUUUCUGAAGUCUGAAACUAGCUUAGAAGAGAUGCAGGACUACUCGCCAUGUGCUUCACUCCACACUCGUUCUCUGCAAUUCGCUUACGUUGGAUCAGAGAGAAUAUUGAAUUAAGCUAGGAUAUUCACAGAUGAAUUAAACGGAUCAAUCAAAUGCAUGUCGGUAUAUGUGGCCACGGAUCGAUCACACGAGGGACGGUUUACUCUGCUCAGCAUCUUGAUUUUAUCUGGAUAUAAAUAACUUAUUGCACCUGUCACAGCUCCUAUCAUUCCGUCUUGCUGAAAGCUACAAGCAGCGAUUGACUCCACCAUGACCUUGAGUUUAAUUUCCUUGUUUUGAUCUAUCCGUUCUUGAUGGUUAUCAGUUCAUAAUUGGGACUUGUCGAUUGAAUAAACUAGGCAGCCUGUAGCCGUCAUCAAUAUAGUUCUCUCGACCUGCUUUUUAUAUGUGCAUGCCGCCAUGCCCAUAGAAUAGACACUUAGCUUGGUGGUAUUCAAUCAGUUCAGCAUGACACGGACUGGCGUCAUUUGGUUAAUUAAGCACUCGGGCUAAAUGAUGAACCGGAAGUUAAACUGUUUACACAUUUUUAUACAUUUUGAUUUGUUUUACUGCCUCGACUUUCAAGUAAUGGGGACUAGGGAGGUAUAUACCUCUUCAAAAAUAGGAGAAAACCUAUGCAAAACAUCACUACUGGACAACUGAACUUUUAUCGUGGUGCCCAAAACACAAAUAUCUCAGUUAGAUUUAGUACUAAAGAUAUUUUAGAGUUGGUUCUAAAAGUACAAGUCUAAAAAUCAUUUUUAGUUCCGGUUGUUGUUACCAACUGGUAGUAAAAUAGUACCGGUUGGUAACCCCAACCGAGACCAAUCUUUAGUUCUGGUUGGUGUUACCAACCGGUACUAAUGAUGCUUUUAGUACCAAUUGGUACUCAAGAUGUCUCUAAGGUUAGUUAAAAAAAGAUCUCCAUCUAAGUUAGACAUGUAGUAGAUAGGAUGGUAACAUGCGUGAGGACUGAGGUUAUCUUUAGUCUCGCUUUACUAGUCUCGGCUGCUACAACCGAGAAUAAAGGGGGGUUUUAAACCGGUAGUAAAGAUGCAUUCUCUAGCAGUGCAUUUGUCAUAGUUGACUUAUAUAUCCUAGUCAAACUAUGUUGUGUAUUAAUUUAUAUGUUACUACGUUUUGUAGGUUAACAAUCACAUUGUUACUUUUAUUUCACAUAAUAAUUUUAUAAUAGUGCAGUGAAGCUUCAAGUAGUUAUAACUUAUAAGCAUAUUAUUGGGAAAUGAGUGGUCAAUGUGUAUAUAAUCUAGUCAACAUUGUCAAGUAUUUAAACACAAAUGUAGUGUUACAUAACUAUCUCUCCCAUAUAUACAAAUGUAUUGUACGGCUGUUUAGAGUGAUAAAAAGAUCUAUAGUAAGUAAACACUUCAAGGAAACUCUCACAUUAAUCAAAAAAAUCCAAACUUUGAUUAGGUGGAUUUUUAUAUCAUGACCGUAAAUCAUAUUGAGAGUUAAUAAACAUAUCUAGGAAAUACCACUAAUAUUCUAUAAAAUGUUUUUAACAAUUUGGAAUGAAUUAAUGUGGAGUUGUUCAUGUAUAUUUGACUCUUAAUUUAGCAUUGUAUAAAUGUAAUUCACAAAUAUAUGAAAUUACUAAUAAGUAGCAAAUUUUAGUCGAUAUGGACUCCUAGUUCAGUCAAAUCUGCUGUAUUUUAGAAAUAAAUUCAGAAUUAAUAACUUGCCUUGGACACUCAGUUUAGCAUUUUGUUAAUUUACAUUUGAAAUUCAAAAUUAAUAAUUAGAUAGCUAAGGUGGACUCUUAUUAUAGUCUAAUUAAACUGUUUUGGUUCCACAAUAACAAUAAUAAUAAUACGUCCAACUAGUGUCUAUUAGUUGGGUUCUUUGUGAAAUUUCCAGCCUUACUCAAAUUUCAUGUUAAAAUUGGGCCAAUAUUUACGACUCAAGCUCAAGAUCUCACAUUUGGGCUCUGAAAGACUGAAACAGGAUUUACACUUUUGGAACGUUUGGAACUUUUUUGCAUGAAAUUAUUUUCAGUUUUAGAAAAAAUUGAUUGAAUUAUAAUAAACUUUGACCACAUUCACAAAAAAAAUAAAAAAAAAUCCGAUUACUUCAUGCAAUACUGUUUUGAUUAAGUUGCAUGUAGCAGCACAGUACUUCACCUAAAAUCUUGAUUAUUACUGAGAAAUUAAAUAUGUAUAAUUCGCUUGUAUACUUCCACAGUACUGCUAUUUCAUUAAGGAUCCAUGUUCUCCAUUGGCUCACUCCUCACUACUUAAGAUUCGUUCUUAAUCGUUCCCCCCUCAUUUUAUGGCUUCUAAAACAAGAGCUUUCAGUAGCUGGAGAGCCAAAGCGCCCAGUGGAGGGGACACUGAUGCUACGCGCUAGGAUAUAUUCAUCAGCAUUGCAAGCAUGCCUGCCCGGAUCUCUUAUGCGUGUGCGCUUAACUAAUUGGCAGUUGCUAUCAAGCUCCAGGCAGAUCAGAUCAGUUGCAUCCAUAUGCAUGCAUGAAAGGCCGGCGCCGUCGCAUCAACUGUGGAUGAGGGAAAUGCUGGGGCCGACGCGCGCCGGGCGCGGCAUACGAUUCCGGCGAGCGCGAUGUGUGUCCGGCCGGCCAGCGCCCGGACUUAAAAGCGCAAGCGCGCGUCGUGGUGGGCGCGCGCCCGCCGCCCGGUUACGUCGGUACGUCGAUCGAUCGGUCGUGAAAGAAGAAGAGAUGUACAGAUUCGGCGUGCACCCACCACCACCGCGGCGAUCUAGCGAGAGAAGGACGGAAGUGAGAGCGAGCGAGCGAGAGAGGGAGAGGGGAUCGGAAUACCAGCGGCUAGGUAGCACCGGCCAAGCGACUCACUCGCUUCAAGUGCCGGGGAAUCGGUGGAAAGGGAUAAAUUAAAGCGUCGGGGUUCGUUCUCCUGCAUGCUGUGCGCACUCUUACGACGACGUUGGGUGUUCCUAUGCCAUGCAUGCGAGAUUUUGCCCGAUAAGAGCAAGUUUUAUAAUAGAGCCAACAAUGAGCUUAUAGCUUAUUUUAGAGUUAACAUGUAUAGUAAAUGGGCUAUAAGGUUACCUCUUUUUUUUCUCCUCCUCUCUCUAUCUCUCACCUAUGUAUUUAAUGUAUCUAUCUUGAAAUAUGUGAAGCUAGCUCUUGCAUGGGAGCCAACCCUCUCAAUUUUUCAAAUUCUCUUUACUCCACAUAAACUUAUAAACUUAUAGUUGGCUUAUAGCCUACUAUUAUACUUGCUCUAACUAGCUGGCUGUGCAAUGCAUGCAUGCCUUUUGGUAAUUCGGUCAAACUCCCAUAUAUUUUAUUUAGGUAGUCUUUCGUUCUAAAAUAUAACAAUCUAAUAUGGAUGAGAUUCCUAUCUAGAUUUUGUACUACUAAAAUAUGUCUUAUUUAUAUUAGGUUGCUAUAUUUUAAAAUGGAGAAAGUAGCUGGGAAAAUGUUUGUGAAGUUUUUAAUUAGCUCCUGAUCAAACAUGUUGUUUGUUCUUACAUUGUGCCUCAGCGAGGCAUAAUGCGCCUCGAUACUAACUAAUGACAAUAUGACAUCAAGAAUACAUGCGUGCUGACUGCUGUGCUGUUGUUUGCUAUAGCUAGGAGUGCUCCUUUUUUUUAGGGGGGAGCCCAUUGAUGCACCACUGCAUGAUGAUUCUUCCAUUUAGAUAGAAAGUUGACGUAGACAUGGAAUGAACAUCACCUAUAUGGUGGAUUAAGAGAGAAGCCAAUUUAAUUUAGGCUGUGCUUAGGAUUCAGAGGUGUAAAGUUUUGGCAUGUCACGUCGGAUAUACGGAUACACAUUUAAAAUAUUAAACGUAGUCUAAUAACAAAACAAAUUACAGAAUCUGUUUGUAAACCGCAAGAUAAAUUUAUUAAGCCUAAUUAAUCCGUCAUUAGCAAAUGUUUACUGUAGCACAACAUUAUCAAAUCAUGCCACAAUUAGGCUUAAAAAAUUCGUCUCACAAUUUACACACAAUCUAUGUAAUUAGUUAUUUUUUUCAUCUAUAUUUAAUACUCCAUGCAUAUGUCCCAACAUUCCAUAUGACAGUGUGUAAAAUUUUACCAGGUGAUCUAAACAGGGCCUUAGUGUAAACUUCUUCCUAUCUAUUCAAAACUUCAAUGCUUCUGUCUUACAUACUAGCUAGCUUAAUGCAUGUGCUCUACAACAAGAAUUAAAAAAGAGAACCCCACAGUACACUUUAAAGCCUUAAUUUUUUUAAAAAGAAAUCCCAUUGUAAAUCUUUAGGUCAUAUUUAUUAUCAUUUUGUAUUGUUGCUUUAAAAUAAAAUUUUCUUCUUUGAUAUCUUGGGGGUUGGAAAAGGGACGAAAAUCCACCUACCUCACUAUUUGUGGACCGACAUGGUAGUGGUGGUGGGUGGUGGUAGAUUUAUCACUAACCACUAUAGUUAGGGUCCUUGCACUAGUUUUCAAAUUAUUUGCAUUAGGACUUUAAGUAAUAGUUAUAUGUUACCUUAACUAUUAGUAUUGCUAUAAAAACUAUUUUGCCAAUUUUGUUGCAGAAGUGCAGAUGGUAAGUUCUCCUAAAAAGUUAAUUUAACUAUUUCUAAGAAUUAGUUGGAGCUGCCACUAUCAAAGAAGGGUUAUCCAUGUUGGCCCAUCACCGCGGGUUUGGCAUGAUCCUAUAGCGGUUCACUUUAGUUUUCUACUUAAACCAAAGUUACCUACAGUGAUACUUGGUAUUCAAUUCCAAGGAAUACUAGAUUUUACUCUCAAGUGAUUUACCUAAUUUUUUUGGAUAUUAGUGUUUAAAAAACCUAGAUGGUAGAACAUAUUGAAUAUGCUUUUUACAUUAUUUGGGAUCACACACAUUAAAAGAAACCUAUACUUUCUUGUGCAACAAAAAGAAACAUCUAGUUAAUUUUAUAUCACAAGUACUCUAACAAUACUUCUACUUCAUGUGAUUAUAUGUUUGAGCGAUUUGUUAUGACUUCCAAAUAGCUGGUAUAAAAUCCACUAUUUAGGUUAGUUCAAAUGACAUAGGCAGAUAGAUAUCGGUUACUUCUUAAAGGUUUUGUUCUAAAGAGGGUGUCAUAUACAUUGUAUUUUUUUCUUAGGUUUUUGGAGAACUAGAAACCGCAAGGUGAUAGCGAUGUUAAAUGACAAAAUGUAUUUAAUUGUUUAUGGAAUAGCAAUUGUUAAAAAUAGUUGGUGCUCUUGUAUCGACGGGUUAUACCUGACCACGGUAUUUGAGGGACGUACGAUAUGACUAAUAGCAAGGUUUAAGCGAGUAUGGAAUAAGAGAACGGGGGACAAGGACUUUUAUACUAGUUCAUGACCCUGAGACGGGUAGUAGCCCUAUUCCAUUAUAUGCAUUGAUCUGGGUGUAUCACACUGAGUACAAAGGGAGAGUAAUUAAGUUAGCUAAUCUAGCCUAUUAAACUAGUCUCGAUAGGUGUAGCAUGGUGUAUGGCUUAUGAUAUACCCUCUCCUCCUUGGAGGCCAUGUAUUUAUAUUGAAAUAUGACCCCUUAUCUAAAUAGAACUUGGGUAUCCCAAGUAGAUAUGGGCAGGCAUGACCCUAGUCCCCCCUACUACCACCACCACCACCAUUUUGUAUAAUAAUAGGUAUGUGGUAUUCUCGCAAUGAUAGUAAGUGCAGGUAUAUGUGUGUGCAAUAUCUAUGACACUAACAUCUUCUUUGUGAAAUUGAUAUAGCAAGCCUAAUUAUAGAGCAUAAGCAAUGAGAUGCACCUAGAUUUUUCAAUGGGAUGGAUACCCAUUAUGUGAGUGUGGCUACACAACUAGCAAAAACCAGCGGAAACAACCAGAAGAAGUACGUGAUGAUAACAUAUUCGUUUGAAGUGGAUAGAUACUUCGGGCACCAUUGGCAUCAACAAAAAAGGAGAGUUGGUACUAUCUUUGGGCAAAUGGGUUGGUGCUUUCUAUGCGCAAAUUUUGUACUUUGGUGUGGUGGUUAGAUAUCAAUGCCAAGAUAAAAAAAAUCUAUGUAUAUGAAAACCAAAUUAGCACUGCCAGAACAGUCUAAUUCAUCAUUUUGAAACAAAAAUUUCUCUAAAAAAUAAUCUAGUUCACUUAUUUCCGUAAAAAUGGACAAAAAUAUUCCUAUGCUCCAAGUAGGGCCUCAAAGAUACCCCCUUUAUUUUGGAUAAAAGCCUUGAUGCUCAAAUAGAAGACACAUCAUGGAUGCCAACUUUAGCUUGAAUAUUGUAAUACUGAAGCCACAAACAUGUAUUUCAUCGCAUAAAUUUUCUAGAAAAAGUGUGGUGUGUUUUCAUCUAGUUUGAUGGAUAAAUUUCAAAAGCUAACAUAGCAAUGUGAGUACAUGUGUGCACCAAUCAGUUAUAAAGGCUCCUCAACUGAGCACAAAUUAAAUUUAUGGCUUCUAAAAAAACUUUUAUUACACUUCCAAAUUUGCUAUGAUACUUGCAUUACCCCUUGUUCCGAUGUGUAUUCCAUGAAAAAAUCAAUAAAAUUGUGUUCAUUCGAGCCCUCAUUUUUAAUCUUUGUUGCUUAUGUUUCACAAUAUUUGUCUACUUACACAGAGCUUAUGUUUCACAAUAUUUGUCUACUUACACAGAAUGUGCAUAUCAUAAUAUGUUCCAUGUAGUAAGUUGGGGGUAAAGUUACCGUAACAUUAUCAUAUUUGGACCCUUAUUUGUGGUGGCAAAAGAUGAAUAUACACUUUGCAUUUGUUGUAGCUAGUUUGUCUUGGUAAGUUUGUUGAUUGGGCAUAGACAAAUAUUAUAUAUGAUAAGAAGGAAGUAGUAGGGUUUAUGAGCAAAUUGCAAAGAAGUGUAUGUGUCUUCAAGCUUUUCACCUUUCGCUUUCUAUUUUUCCCUUUGCAUAAUUGUAUUUGAUUGACCCACCUUGUAUGCUUCACUCUAGCUUUGAUUCUCUAGUUCUCUUUCAUUUGUGUGUUUUACCCUAUUUGGUUGAAGUCAACUGUACUAGCUAGUGAGCAUAUUGUGUAUGUAUUCUAUUAUUCCCCAAAUUGCAAGAAAUGCUUGUGAGAUGACUAAAAGUUAUAAUGGGCUACAAAUGCAUGCACGACGAGGUAUCCUUUCCCUCUUUAAAUAUAUUCUAGAAAAAACUUGCUCCCAAUGUGCAUCAAACCCCUCAAUGUUCCCCGCAUAUAGGCUGAUACUUUUCUAGCAAGUGUAUGUACUAUUGUCCUAUAAAAGUAGUUGCACUUUGGGAGCAUGCCAAUCAUCUUGUGGCGAAGUGGGUUUUCAGACCUCUUAAGCAAAUCUAGGUUCGUGUCAUAAGUAAAACUCAGUAUCCAUAUUUUCUUUAAUAAAUAUCAUAAUUUCUUUUGAAAAGGUGGCACACUUUGAUAGCCCUGAUCCAAUAGCCUUAGGACAUGUCUAAUGAUAAGCUAAUGUUAUAUAUAAGAACUACAUGUAUAUAAUCAAGAGAGUAACUAAUUAAAAACAACUCAUAUAGUAGAUAUUAUAUAUAUAUAUAUAUAUAUAUAUAUAUAUAUAUAUAGUUGUCUCUUGAACACACACACUACCCUCUCUCCCCCCACCAUUCUCUCUCUCUCUAUCUCUCUCUCUCUGUGUCCCUAAGAGAGCAUGCGUAGAGUUGGUUCUUGUAUGACGAUUAUUCUCACAUUCUUUUUUCAAUUCUCAUCUUCCCUACGUAUGAAAAUUUACGACCCACAAACUUACAGCCAACUACUAUUAGACGGUUCCUUAGAAAUAAGGACAUUCAUACAGCCAAAAAGUUUCUUUUAGUCCCAACAUUGACAAAGUUUUUAUUAUGAUUAAUCUAUUAGAAUAUAUACUCAACUGUACUUAUGUUCAUCUUACGGCAAUAGACGGGGAACCUUGUUGUAGGUACCAUAUGCCAUGUGUUGAAAUCCCUCCAAUUAUUCAGCCAUCAAUACAACCCCCUCCAAAGUUGAAAGGAUAUAAUUGAAUAUUUCAGAGUUAAUAUGAUUGAGGGUCUUUUAAUUAAAGUCUAUGGGCUAUUAUAUGUUGAAUUAAAAUAGAGGGCAACUAAAUCAUGUGUGAUAUUAUAUUAAUUAGAAACAAGAAAGAAUUACAAGCUGUGAAUCUUUUUUUCCUAUAUUGUUUUAUGUAGUUGUCAAUCUACUAAUCUCAAAGCUGGCCGUUCAGCCAGCAUUUGAUUGGUCCAAAGGGCCAUAUAACUUAACGACACGAGCAACAUGAUAAAAUGAUGUGUUCUGUGUAGCGAUCCAAUGCAUUGCCGAGUAAGUACGUAGAUAAGUAGUCAUGCCCUUCUGGAUCUCUCGCGUAUGCGUGCCUUGGCCAAUACACCCACUCGACCAGACCCAGUCACCACACAAGCACGCAGCCCCCUCUGGACGGUUAAGGGCAAUAACUACAAGUCUCUAUACGUUGUCCCUAAAUUUACCACAUAGGAUUAGGUGAUAAGGUGAAGAAGAGAAUUUAAGAGAGAGAAUGAACUAACUCUCAUGUAAGAGGCAACCUCCACACAAUCCCCAAGAAAAAUGCAAGAUGAUGUGAGAGUAAACUAAUAUUUGAGUUUGUGUAUUAGAUGUGGUAUGUUGUAUGUGUUGCCUCUUAAUUAAUGAGAAGAUGACAUGGCUUAAAUUUGAUGUGGCAUUCACCUCCAUUAUAAAACUUGCCCUAAUUAGCCACACUAAUUAACCAAUGGUUGGCAGUGAAUACAUUAAUUAGAUGGAGCACAUGGAUGUGUUGUGACUGUGAGCUGAACCAGUUGCAUCCAUACAACUAUGAGGAGUUGGAAUGCAGUGCAAAAUCUAUGCGGCAAUCUUAAACUUACAAGAAGGAUUGGAUUCAUAUUAUUUUUCCAGUUAUUACUGAUAUAGUGUACUACGAAAGAUAUUAAUGAUCAGAACUCAGGCUGUGUUUAGAUCCAAAGUUUAGAUCCAAACUUCAGUCCUUUUCCAUCACAUCAGCUUGUCAUACACACACAACUUUUUAGUCACAUCAUCUCCAAUUUCAACCAAAAUCCAAACUUUACGCUGAACUAAACACAGCUUCAGGAUGAAUAUCAUUUUAUACUCUGAUACCCCAUCCGUCUUAAAAUGGAAAUAAUAUAUUUAAGUAACAAACAAUAAAACUUAGUGUAUAAAAAGAGUAGCAAGUAUUAAAAAAUAAAAAUGAAAUAUAUAUAUUUUUCUAUCCACAAAUUUUAUUAUUUUAAAGGAAAUUUAAUGUACAAAAGAGUAGCAAGUAUUAAAAACAAUUAAGAAUGAAAAAUGGAAAAAAAUAGUUUUUGCUAAUUCACAAACUUUACUAUUUUUAAAGAAAAGGCAGUGAAAAAUAUUUCUAAGUGACUAUGUUAAAAUUCAAAAAUAGGUAACCUAACCAUGUUGAUAUCCCAUAUCUAUAAAAAAAACUGAAACAAUAAAUAGCAACUAUAAGCAUAACAAAAAACAUUUCUCAUCAUUUUACAAAUUAUAAAAGCUUUUAUUCAAUACCCUUAAAUUUACUAAAGCAAGAUAGAAUAUUUAUAAAAUACACUUUUAUAUCCUUAUAAUACAAUCUUCACCGGUUUGUUAGUAGCAUGCAUUACUACCAUGUUUUGGUAUUCUUUUUCUCAAUAGUCUACAAGUACAGAACUGAAAAAAAAGAAUAGUGUUUAUCGACAUUUAUGAGUAUUGAACCAAUUGCUAUAAGAAAAUCUCGCACUGAUAAAUAAGAUUUAAAUAGUAUUCACAUGCUCCAUUAUAAAAAAAUAUACAUGGGUUAAAUUACCAAGCGUGCCAAUAGGCGCUCCAAUUUUCUAGUAUAUAUAAUAAAUAGAAAUAAGUGUGAAUAUUUGCGGCACACCACUAUAUACAUAGCAUGCGUUAGUCAUCCUGUAAAAAAUAUUUUUUUUGUUUUAAGCAAUACUUUAUGGGCCAGCCGGCCAGGUAUAAUAUGUAUCACUUUCAUCAAAUUUAUCAACUUUAUAUGCACUUCAUAUGAAAGUGGUAACUUUUCUGGAAUUAUUUCAAGUUAUUGCUGUUUUAUAAAAAUAACUUUAUUCCUUGGCACAAUCCCAAAUCAUUGACACUUCAUUCACAACCACUCUAAUAUUUUGCAAGACUAAGGUUGUGAUGGUAAUAUUGUUUUGCCUAGGCUUAACGGACGCACGUAAAAUGAAACAUACCAUUAGCUUAUGAUUAUUUAAGUAUUAACCAUAAUAACAUUUAGAACAAAUUUAUUUGAUUUUUCCAAAAUAAAAAACAUAUUUAUAGAAAUCUUUUGCAAGAAACAGAUCGUUUAGCAGUUUAAAAGGUCUGCUCGCGAUAAGUCACUAGCCAGUAACUGAAAAUAACUAAGCCUAAGAGUGAGGACCUAUUUGUUUUGGUAAAAUGUGGCUAGACAUCACUAAAGCGUGUCGUCACUGUCGACAAAUGUAGCAAUGUUUGGGUUAGAAAUGUGCCUAUGCCAUCUUGACCAACGAGUUAGUAUAGUAUGUGGCUUGUGACAAUCAUAAUAACGAACCAAAUACUGGCUUGCCAAGUAUGUGGUUAACAACGUGUAACAUAGUACCAAUCAUUUAGGGUGGCAAGACGUGGCAACAAACCAAACAAGCCAUCCAGCUCCAGGUGAGUUAUUCUGCUCUUGCCUCAAGCCCACAAUCCAAGUUCGCACUUGAUCUUUGAUCUUUGGAAAGGCCAUCAUCGGGAGACUGGACAUGAUCCAACCUCUCGCUUUUUCUCUUCCCGCUACAGCCACCAGGGCAAGCAGCACCGCCCCUGUCCAGGCUGAUUUCGCAUGGGUUGCUGAUGAUGGUCCUCGACCUAUCAUCCGGCUGGGAUUAUUACAUGAUUAUUAAGUAAUAGCUAAUUUUUUUUAAAAAAUAGAUUAAUUUGAUUUUUUAAGCAACUUUCGUACAGAAAUCUUUUUAUAAAAAACGUAUCGUUUAACAGUUUAAAAGGCGUACGUGCGGAAAACGAGGAAGAGGGGUUGGGAACUCAAAGGAAAGACACAGCCGGGUUGGGAACUUGUUGCUGUCACCCUACUCCCUGAUGAAUCCUCUUGUCCAGGUUUUUGCAUGGAGUAGGAAGUAGGAACUAUCAUAUCAACCUAGCCUACUAGUUUCUCAGGCAUCAGUAGCCCAGUAGUGGAUGCACGAACGAAUUUUACCUGUUGGGGGUGAGAAGCUAGAACCGGGCAGGGGGGGGAAGGAAGGACCAGCAACAAGUGGACGGAUGAUAUGGAGGCUGAUGGAACCGAUCGUCCGGAGGCAACUUGCAAGCAAUGCUACAUUUGCUCCCGCAGUUGCGUUGCACGACGUACUACAUAUGUAACCAGAAAAAUGCCACGACGAUGCAGAUCGAUAUAUAGUCAGGCAGCAUUAGCGUGGUCGAGUCCCCAACGCUCGGCAUUGCCUCAUCAGUUAAUCCGCACUCGCCUUUUUGUUAGCGGGACACGCAUGCGCUGUGUGUGUGUGUGCUCCCUUCGAUCGGGCACGAGCUGUGUGCGGUGGCAUGGGCGCAUGGCAGCGACUGGUCGAAACGCGGCCGCACGACGGACACGCCGCUCGAUCCCCCGCGCGGCUGCCGUGCUCCCCCUCUCGUCUGGAUCACCGGCGGCGUGGGCGGCUCUCUUCCACGAGGCAUGAGCUCGGUUUUUUUUUUCCCUCUGCUCGCGACGGAGAGGGAAAAGGCUGCUGCUUCUUAUUCUUAUUCCCUGGAGCGAUCAGCUUUUUCUCCGCCCCCCGGAGGUGAAAACAAAGCAACGAAUGGAACCAUGGAAACGAAGUGAAGGAGCGUGCCUUCGCAAUCAUGGCCUGAGGCCCUGAGCGGCUGAGCCCCUGAGGCCUCCUGAGUAUAUAUAAACCAAGCAUGGUUUGCCUCCUGCAUUGCCCGUGUGAAUGCCAAUGAUACAGAGCCCCCCAAGAGCAGAGCAAGCGCGAGAACACACACCAACAACGCAACAAACCACCAGGCGUGCGCGUGCAAGCGCAAGGCUUGAAACGGAGAGACACGAAAAGCGCCAAGGUGUUCGCCCAUCAUUAUAAUCAGCUUAUAAGGGCGCGAGCGAAACCGCACAGUUGUACACUUGGACUCGCAAACUAGACUCUCCGUCUCCUUGCGCUGCGCGUUAUAUCGGCUCUGCCUAUAUAAGUGUGCUGAGGCGACUGGGGCUCGGUGAGUGUUUUGGGUGGGCCGGCUUUAUGAGCAGUCUCGGUUUGAAGAUCCGCACCGUCGUCCGCUCACCUAUGGCGGCCGCGGCCGUCGCUGGCGUCGGAAGGGAUGGUAGCUUCGCCUCCCAGAAGCGGCCACGUCGGGUUAGUGUGAGAAUGGAGAGAAGCAGAGUCGGGGACGGUUGCUGCUGCUCCUGCUCUGGCCGCGGCGGGGUGGCGUCCACUACGGCGGUCCGGCCGUCCACGGGGAUGGUGGUGAUCGUCGGCGCCACGGGCACGGGGAAGACCAAGCUUUCCAUCGACGCGGCGCAGGAGCUCGCCGGCGAGGUGGUGAACGCUGACAAGAUUCAGCUGUACGACGGCCUCGACGUCACCACGAACAAGGUGUCGCUCGCCGACCGCCGGGGCGUCCCGCACCACCUCCUCGGCGCAAUCCGCGCCGAGGCCGGGGAGCUGCCGCCGUCGUCGUUCCGCUCGCUCGCCGCCGCCGCCGCGGCCGGCAUCGCGUCGCGCGGGCGCGUGCCGGUCGUGGCCGGCGGGUCCAACUCGCUCAUCCACGCGCUCCUCGCUGACCCCAUCGAUGCCGCGCCGCGUGACCCUUUCGCGGACGCCGAUGUCGGGUACCGGCCGGCGCUCCGGUUCCCGUGCUGCCUCCUCUGGGUCGACGUCGACGACGAUGUUCUCGACGAAUACCUCGACCGGCGCGUGGACGACAUGGUCGGCGAGGGGAUGGUCGAGGAGCUCGAGGAAUACUUCGCGACGACGUCGGCCUCGGAGCGGGCCUCGCACGCCGGGCUGGGCAAGGCCAUCGGCGUGCCGGAGCUCGGCGACUACUUCGCCGGGCGCAAGAGCCUCGACGCGGCGAUAGACGAGAUCAAGGCCAACACGCGGGUCCUCGCGGCCCGCCAGGUCGGCAAGAUCCGACGCAUGGCCGACGUUUGGGGCUGGCCCAUCCGCCGCCUCGACGCCACGGCCACCAUCCGGGCGCGGCUCUCCGGCGCCGGCCGCGCCGCCGAGGCCGCCGCGUGGGAGCGCGACGUGCGCGGGCCAGGCCUCGCCGCGAUGCGUCAGUUCGUCGGCCGCGCCGACUUCAACGCCGCAGCGGUCGACCAGCUAGCCGCGCGGAGUCGGAGGCAAUGCCUUCGCGGUGGCAUGGUGGCCGGCUGAGCCCGAGCGGAGGAAAAAAAAAAAAGCUUGCGUGCUUUUGGGUUCAAAAUUUUUCGAUAGGCCGCCGAUUUUGGCGGGCCCGAUGGCUCAUCUGACACAGGUCGGUGGGGCCACAGGACAUGCUACAGCGAAAGACAGAGCACAAUACAGAGCAAGCAGGAACAAGAAAUAGAGAGAAAAGGCAGAGAGCUGUGAAGUUUUGCAGAGAGGACUGUGAAUUCCUUCUCCCUGGCCUGGAGGCUGCUUAAUCUUCUUUUGGAUUCAUCAACCUUUUUCCUAGCUAGCCACCAUUGUAUACAGUGUAAUCUACUGCUCCCCCUUGUUCAAAUUUUGAAAUAGUUUUACAUUUUCAACCUGACCUUGAGGAGGAUAUUACAGGAUUCAUCACCAUGCACCAGAUGCACUUGGUUUUCUGCUCGGCCUUUUUCGUUUUUGUCUCCAUGUGUAAUCGGGGCAUGCUUUGCAUCUCUGAACCCUGUGCUUUUGACCAUUGCGUUGGUUAUCUGUUGAUCGCUUGGAACUCGAUUCUUUAAUUCGAUCUGCAGAGUAGUCUAGUUGCAUGCACUGGGUUUAGUUGCUUCCCUUGUUGACAUGUAGUGGUGGAUUCUCUGAAACAUUCCAGCUGGUAGCGUGCACUGGAGCCGCUGAUUAAGUGCGUAAUCUCAUGCUUGGUGUGUGAUUAAGGGGAGGGGUUUGUGCUGGCCGCGUGAGUUGGUGUCUUUGUACUCUUGUUGUGCCAGCUACCAAGGCAGUUCGAGCCUAGACGUGUGAUGCAUUCUCAUACUCCUGUUUUCCUCUUCAUUCUCUCUUUCUCUCACAUUCCUUCAGUGUGACUGUUCGAUUCGCACGCACCGACAUCGCCGGGUUCUUUUUUUCCAUUGCCGUGGUAUGUUAGAGCAAGUUUAAUAGUAUAGUCAAUGGCUGACUCCAAAUCAUUUAUAGUUAGCUUAAUAGCUAAUUCAUACAAUAGUUAUCUAUAAACAUAUACUACACAAUUAAUAUCUGGUCCCACCUAUCAUACACACAUGUAUUUUAUAGUCCGUGCUAUAACUGGCUAUAAAUUUAUAGCUCGUUACUCUUCUCUCUUCUCUUUUAUCUUUUUGAAAUGUGUCUAUGGCUGGUUUAUAGUCUAUACCUGCUCUUAGCUACUGACGAUCCUCUCCUGCAUGAGUAUUUUUGUCUCCUUUUUACACUCACCAAGACACCAACCGUUACACGACUGGUGAGUCGGCUGGGUUUGACGGCCCUGGGUGACGUGGCUGCGUGUGAUGUCGUUAUUCUAUUCUGCAGCCACAACCUGGCUGUGGGUUGGAGAUGUUGAGCGAGAAGAAGGCAGAGACUGGCAUCCUCUGAGACUUGUUGAUGAUGUCGCUCGCCUGCGCUCGAUUAGGAUGUGGCACCAUACUGCUAGCUAGUACUGGAGUAUUAUUCUCUGGAGUAGCCAAGCUGUUUCUCUCAUGCGUGUUUACUUAAUGCAAACAACUAACCCCCUGCGUGCUGCAAAUAUAAUACUGCUGCUACUACUAACACUGCGUGACUUUCAGAUGCCUCCUGCCUCAGCAGGAAUUCACAUCAGAACAGAAGCCGGCCGCCACCAUUGCCAUCCCGAACAAACUCCUCGAAACCAAAGCUCCUUUCGGACGAACCGAUGACAAGUACUACUAUAGAAGCUAUACUACCCAUCCUACAAUAUUCCUACACCGUGCGUGCAUUUGCAUGCACGAGUGUUGACCUGAACAGUUGAAGGCGUGGCACGCAAAAGGAUGCAGAGACAACGAGGCCCUGAUGAUGGCUGCUGGCUCUCGCCAUCGCUGGGCCGCCUGGGCGCCGGCCGCUGCUGCGUGCGUCGCGUGCGCGCGGCGACGAGCUGCGCCUGCACCUGCACUAGCUGCCGCACGCGCGGCCCCCUCCGGUGACGAGGAGCUGCGCCUGCAUCUGCAUGCAUGCACUUGCUCCCGCCUCUCGCCCAACCCGCCUUGCCGCCUUGGUAGUUGUUGCGGUUGCUGGUCUCUAGGGCCCUUGAGACGGCAAAGGCCAUCAUUGACGUUGCCUUGUUUUUGGCGCUCGAGGGGGGUGAGGCUUCUCCUUCUCCAGCUGCGCGUGUCUGUGCAUGUACUAGGCCACGGCCAGCAUCGUAACAAUAUACAAGUACUCCACUGUACUGGCCUCUGUUUCGCUUGUCCUCCCAGGGCUCAACCAUGGCGCCCAGGCGCUGUCUAACUGUCGCUAAUCCUCUUGCUUUGCAGCCCGUUUACUAGUAAUUAAGUGCAGCCACUCCUUGCCAAAACCCAGCUCCUUCUCGUUGCCUUCUUAGGAUCACGUCUUUCUGGCUAGAUUCGAGCUAAAUUGGCCCCUUCUUUCGUCGUCUGUCUUGAUCACGUAUGUGCAUCGUGUUUUAUUCAGAGUCAAACCGAGACCACAAAGCGUUGGGUUUGCUCCUAAUCUUUUAAUUUGGCCUGUUCUUGCUCAUGCCAACACAUUCCUCCAGUUUUGUUUUCAUGUACUCUAAACAAGUCUACUCAACGUCUCGACAUGCUGGUUAUGCUGUACGAAAAGGUGUGCUUAGAACAUGAUCAACUGAUUCUCUCCUCCCCAUGGCUGCACUAGAUUUAUUUCCACUUGGGCUCGUGUGCUGCACUGAGCUGAGGUGCAUGAACGCAGCGAAUCGAAGCAAGCAGGGUAACGAUUUUAAAUCUCGCGCCUGUUCUCCUGGGCAGACCCUGCAGCCAUGCCUCCUCUCGGCUGCGCCCCCAAAAGCCUCCCCAGAUCCAUUUCUGCUGGACAGGAAUUUAGCCUUUGCUUCCGUGUGUUGUGUACGCAUUAGGACAGGGUAGAUGAUUAACUGCUCCACUUGCUUGCAUGGUCAGUGCCUAGAUGCUUCUCCUCAAAAAGAUCCAAUGAUGUGUUUUGUGCCCUCUUUCUCGCUUAAACAAGUAUGAUCCAGCCUGGUCUUUCACUAUAUAGAUAUAGUCGGCCUCAGAAAACUCCUCAAUACUCUUCUCAGAAAACAGAUCGUCUAACUGAUACUGAUACAUUCGGUUCUUUGUCUAUUAAGUUAUUCCAUCCAACCUCGUGUCAUAGGCUGACUAUUCGUCAGAUUCAGACACUUCUUUAUGCCUUGAGUAAAGAUCUAUAGCCACUGAUCUCAUCACUCCUCCCAUUUCCUAUAUAGAAAAUGUCAUUUUCUUAGUUAGAAGGUCAAACAACGAAUUGUUCUGACCUACAGGCAUAGUUUAAGUUUGGUAAACGAUUACAAAAUACAACGAAUUAGUCCAACCAUACCCCCCCCCCCCCAAAAAAAAAGAAGUAAAGUUUUCAUGUACAGAAACAAAAUUGCACAUUACGCCGUUUGGGCUUAGCAAUGUGCGAGGGGCUACAAGUUUUUUUUUCGGGAAUACGCUAGGAGCAUAUUUUUGUAUUAAGAGGAAUAAAAGCUAUUUACAAGUCAAAUACUAGAUUAAAGGGGACGGGGUACCAGAGUGCAACAGGACUUAUGCUACAAUCUCACAACCGAUUAGGAUGGCCUAGGGACUCUUCAAACUAGAGACCAAGCGCCGGUACGGCCGCCUUUGCCAGACGCCAUAGCUCUGCCUCAGCGUAUUUAAAUGUUAGCAAAGCAAACACAUAAAAAAAAAACUUAGACCAUAAUAUUACUAUGCGCCAGACCACACCAGUAUUUAAAUAUUUGGUUGGAUAUGCAUUUUUUUGGGCUACAAACAAAGAAACAACCCACAAUGUAUAUAUGCUAGCAAACGUACAGUAGUAUAUCUGCAGGGACAUCUCUGUCCUAACUGAAACACGGUUUGUACUCUAAUAAAAAAGUUUGGUUAUACUCUCCAAGGGUACAGUUUAGAGAAACUGAACAUUUCUGAACUCCCAUCCACACGACGGUCGGUGCCCAAUCUAGUCACUGAUCCCUGAAAUCGACGGACGCAGCAGACACCCCGACGACACGGCGACGCCAAUUGCCUGCAGAAGCUCGACACGCGCAGAGGAGACGACACAACGCGCGGUGCACACUUUACCGUCCUUGGCGCAUCUAAAGUCGUUAGCCUCGUCCGCGCAGUGCGUCACUUACUCACUUUUGGGUUUCGCCGGUCACGCAUUGCUGCCGCCUGCAACCGCAAGCGUUCGCAAGGCGUGCUACGCCGCCGACACGCGCGCGAACAUCUCUACGUCGUCCCUAACCGGCAGGUUUCGCUCGCGCGUCCUGCGUCCUGCCGACCAUCACGUCCACAUCCACGGUCAUGCUCCUUGCUAGUAUUUCUUACCUUCCAAGUCCAGUAAAACCGCGAACAUUUUCCUAGCGAUGUGACUGGAACAGGAGCGAAGCAAUGGUAGCAAACUGGCAUCGGUGGUUGGGCGUUGGACUUGGUGCAGCCAUGACGAACACGACGGCGGCGAGGAGAAGGCCGGGAGGGGCGCGCUCUCUGGCGUGAUUGCAACCGCUUGAUGGGGUAAAAAAAAAAAGUCGUUUUUCUUGAUCCCGGUCUUACGAAACCGGGACCGCUGCCGCUAAGCUCAACACUUUUCUGUCAUUCAUUCACUCUUCCGGGCUCAGCCGACCUCUUAUGUCGCUUUGAAUUGUGUGAUCCAUGUGGUGUUCACAGUUAACUGAAGAUUGAGAUAUUUUACAGAUUUUAGAGAUACCGAAAGAUAUCAAAAUUGUGUAAAUUUUCAUAUGACCUGGUAUCGGAGGUAUCAAGAUAUGCCAAAUUUUACGCUACAAUAAAAUAUGAUACCUCCUAGUACUUAUAAAAAACUGUAAAAUCACUCCUGAAGAUUAGUUUCUCUAAUCCCCGGUAACGCUACAAACCGAUACCCCCAUAAUCUUCAGGCUCUAUGUACAUUUAGCAGAUUAGCUCUGACCUAAAUUGUAUCAAGUAGAUGAUACUCGUUGAUUUUGGGAGCUGGGUUCGAAAUGUUUUCACCUUGCAAGAAUUUUUCGUGAUCGUAUUUGUUUCCGUCGUUCAUAUUUCGAUUACUCCUGCGUGCAUAAAUACUUGACGAUUAGGAGAAAAUUCGGUCUAAUUUUUAAUACUUUGACCAUCAAUUUAGAUUGGAAUAAGUUAAUAAAAUAUACUCCAUCCAUUCUAAAAUAUAAGCAUUUUUGAACCCUUACACGGUCUCCGAGAUGUUAAUUUGACCAACCGUAUCUAUAAAGGUAAGAUGUUUUAAAUAAAAAGAGUUGCAUGUUAUGAUAUUUUGUUUAAUGAUAAAUUUAGUGCAUCAAUUUUAUAUGAUUGAUGUUUUUUUUAUUUUUUUCUAUUAAUAGUCAAAGUUAAGAAUGUUUGACUUGUCACUAUGCUAAAAAUGUUUAUAUUUUGAGACGUAGGGAGUAAUAAAUUUAUGACAUUAAUACUUUUCAAUUCCAAUUUACGCAUACUUUUUUUUAAAAAAAAAGAAAAUAGACAUACGAGAUAUUAUUUAUAGUCACAAUUUUAAAAGUUUGAUAAAAUAAUAUCGUCAACAUCAAAUAUUUGUGACCAAGGGAAGUUUUUUUUUCAUUAUGAAAUCAAUAUUGUCUCUACAUAAAAAAACACGAAAACAAAUACCCAAUCUAUAAUUUUUAAUGGAUGACACCAUUGACAUUUAACGUAUGUUUGACUAUUCAUCUUGUCAAAAGUUUAUGUAAAUAUAUAAAAAUAGAAAAGUCAUGUUUAAAGUAGCUUCAAUCAUAUACAGUCACACAUACUAUUAAAUAAUUGAAGCUAUAGUUAUAGUCGUGGCUGCUUCAUCCGUUUUAAAAUAUACUAUCCUAAGAUUAGAUUAAACACAUAUUAUGAAUCUGAACGCAUGUUCUAUUUCUAUAUUUAGAACAGAAAUAGUACUUAUUUGUGCUGGAAGCAAAAGAUUGACGACAAACUUGCGAUCAAAUGAACCCAGACAGAUUGACGAUUCGAUUUCCAUUUUUCGCGAGAGACCAAUAAAUUUUCAAGCUAAGACAAGACGCAACGGCUUCCUUGAAUGAUCGUGAGAUCGAGAUGCGUCUUCUACUCCUCUUGUGGUUUCGCUCUCUUCGAUCUGUACUUGUGCAAAUGCAAACUAUCCAAUCUCCACCACCAACACCAUGCCGACGUGAUCGCGAAGUUUAGCUUAGAACGGAGGGAUGGACGACAAGGGGAGCAUGCGCGCCGAGGCGACUGGCGACUGGCGACGGCGACACAUCCGAUUGGUAGGACACAGGAUCGUACCAACAGACAACGGCGGCCCACGGCGGUAGCCUCGUCGUCACGUGGCAAACGCGGAGGAUCGAUCAAUCUGUCUCAAAACCGUCUCCACACGCCCCUUUGACAUCCUGCGCGACUGCGCGUGUCUCGCCGUCUCAACAUCACAACCAUCCCCGCGGCACGCGCGGACUUGGUGUUGGUGGCCGUGCCGUGCCGACCUCUUUUGGCUUCCGAACGCCUCCGCCGUACGGCAAAGAUGCAGCCUGCGUGCAGCUGCCUGCCUGCCUGGAUAUGGCAGCGGACAGCACGGCGAGACGAUGCAAGAAUUGCGAGUGAUCAGGACAGCGCCGCCCGUCAGUCCACGACGACCCACACCCACUCUCCGGGCCUCCGCCGACCGCCGUGUGCGGUGACGUUCAUCCGUUGGGUACAUCUAGAACGAAGAAGGCGUGAUUCCGUGACCUGACCAGCGGGUCUCGGUAAAAACUUUUGAUGUGCAAUAACGCGAUGAGACCGGGAUUUCAUUGACGGUGAUAAGCAGAGGCUGUUUGCGUACUCCUACUUUUCGUUAUUCGUUUCACCGCGAAGGUUUUUGUUUCCACGACGAGAGCACGACAGGACGAGGUGUAGGUGUGUGUAAACCGGCGGAGGCGGUGGCAGUUGAUGACACGGCACGAAGAAAGCUUGGAGAUUUGAGCACGCUAUGUUGGCCCGUAGUGUCCUUCUAAGCCUGCAAAACUGAUAAGCCCUGGGUUACGGGCCUACAUUGGCAGCAACCUUAACAGGCCGUCGUCUGUUAGAGUGUUAGUUUCAAAUGGGCCUUGACAAAUUUUAGCACGGAAUAAGUUCACUUGAGGUCUCUUAACUUGUCAUCGAAUCCGAUUUUCGUCCUUCAACCGGAAAACCAGAUACAAUGGAUCCCUCAACUAUCAAAACCGGUGCAAAUCAGGUCCCUCAGCGGCUUUGCUUGUGGUUUUGGCUGAUGUGGCGCCUACGUAGGAUUGGGCUUUCUUCUUUGGAUUGGAUUGGGCUUUCUUCUUUGGAUUGGGUAUCUUAUAGGAACAAGUCUAUUUUGCCUCCCUCAUAUUUUGCCCUUGGUCGAAUCGCAUCCACAACCGCAAAACUGGAUAUAACGCCUCUCCCAUCUCUAAAACCGCUUCAAAUUGACUCCUCGGGUGGUUUUGUUGAUGGUUUUAUCCUACAUGGCGCAUAUGUGGCAUUUUAGACAAAUAGUAAUAAUAGUGGCAAUGGGUCCCACAUGUCGGUUAAGUAUUCAUCCUCCUAUUGCGAGCCAACAACUCCGGCGAGCUCACGCCACCACGGUCACGCAGUAGCCACCACAAAUCAGGAAUCACCUUCGUCAUCACCCAAUUCCUCUGGCGGUUGCUUUCAACCACAACGCUUCAUCUCUGUAUUCUUCCUCGAUAACAACUCCAAGUGCAUUAAGGUCCUCACCAGCCACCUCGACGAGCUCUCCGUGGACAAUGCGACGCUACGCUCCGCCCAAUGCAUCCUCGCGGCGAAGCAAAGGGCGUCCUCCUUAGAUGCACCAAGAUGCAUCGGUGCCGACGCUGACGCAGCACAUGCACGAAGCUCCUUGACGGGACGCCUUGCCGAGCUCCCACCAUCACCUAGGGCCUCUACCUACUCCUCCAAGACUUCUCCGCCUCCAUCUUCCUCGAGGGGACGAGCCUCUCUCCCCACCAGCCGCCUCCUCUCGUCGGGAUUUCUCGGUUGCGGCAGGAAUCAGGAUGGGAAUGGUUAGGAUAUGGAUCGAACCUAAACCGUUUCAAUUGAGUUUAUUGAUCCAUGGUUUAAUAGGGUUAAUCCAUCAUGAGUCCAUUAUAUCAAUAGUUUAUUCAUAAAUAUCCAAAUGGAUCAUCUACGUUCCUAGUAGACAAAAAAAAAACUCUUAUUACAUGCAUGUAAAACUUGGGUCCAAAAUUUUUAAACACGUGUUCACAUUAUAAAAACUUAUCAAAUUUAGUUGAAUUUUGUAGAGAUAAUUUAUUGUAUGGAGAAGCAACUUUGUUCAAAUUUUUAAGUCAUUUAGACAUGUAGGGCCCACGAUGCAUUACUAAGAUUCAAAAUUCUAGUUACAUGUGUGUAAAACUCGGACCAAAAAAUUUCAAACUCAUGUUCACACUAUGAAAACUUGUUAAAUUUAGUUGAAUUUUGUAGGAAUGAUUUAUUAUAUAGAGAAGCAAUUUUGUACAAAUUUUUGGAACAUUUAUACAUGUGAAGUUAUUUUGUGCCGAACUCCUUAAACCUAGGUUCUAAUGGUUUGAGCCGUUUAAUCCAUUUAUAUUUUUGGAGCGACCCUAAAAAUCCGUUAGGAUAAAUUUACAGAUAGAUUUAGUGGAUAAAUGGAUCGAUCCUACCCAUUCCGAUCCUGAGGCAGGAACUUCCGGUUGUAGCGGAAGUAUCCUUAUGCACAAGUGACUCUCUCCGUGGAGUCGGCAGCGGCGGCAGUUGUGUCGGUGUUGUGAGAGGAUAGUGGCCUUCCGACGCCCCUUACCCCGUCGUUGGUCGCUGGGAGCUUCAAGCAACUCAUGUGCGUGUCGCUGGAGAAUAGGGAGAGAGGGCUGACUUGGGAUGACGCAGUGAGCGCCUUAAGCUCCCAUGCUGUCGUGGCUUCCGUUGACCUCUCAAAGCCCCUUGACUCACUGCUAGAGUGCUAGGAGCUUCGAGCUCGCGCACGUGACGGAGGAGAUGGGGAGAGAGGUCGGCUUGGGGGAUGAGCGGUAAGCACUCUGUCGACCUCCCGCACCUCCCGCGGUGCAGUGGCCUCCCAAAGCCCGUCAGCUCGCUUAUAGGAGGGGGGUCGCUGGGAGCUUCAAGCUCGCCCAUCCUCGGUGUGUUGAACUCCCGUGGCUUGGCUGCCUCUAUUGGGACGAUGGUGGACGAGCGGCCACACUCGGAGGGGCUCGCCAAUCACCUCCGCAACCUGGCUUGGUCAGGAAAAAAGGGGAAAAGAAAGAGAUGGGAGAAGAGGAGUGGGCACUGACACAUGUGUCCCACUGUAGCCCAUGCUGAUUUAGCGAGUGUAACCACGAUCAAAUAGCCACAUCAACAAAAAAAAUCACUUUCUAAACCACCAAAGAAGUCAAUUCGCACCCGUUUUUGAAGUUGGAGGAUGCAAUAUUCCCAGUUUUGCGGUUGAGAGAUGCAAUUCGACCAAGGACAAUAGUUGAGGGAAGUAAAUUAGACUUAUGUACAUGGCAUGACAUGGGCUGUGACAACAACUCGUCACUGCUCGUCUCGGCUCUACCUUACCCGUGUCGAACCACCCCUAUCAAACACGGUAUAGCGGUGGGCUUGGCCCGUUAGGACAGAACGUACCGGUGGCAAGCCACCAAUCCACCAUGCAUGUUUCUUCAAGAGAGAAUGCCGAGUUUUCUCUCUCGCGUCGUCACCGCAUACGCGUUUGUGUUGUGUAGCCGUUUACGUGUUGUUUUGACUGGCUGACGCAUCAUUUGCUUCUGUUUCUUCGCCUCCACGCUCCUUUGUCCUUCACGACUUUUCUCACAACUCGAUGACCGCUGACUCAGUUCGCUACCAUCGACGACGUGGUCGUGAAAUACAGAAAUAGUAAAUAUACGGCGGCACUCAGAAUAGCAGAAGGCCACGAACCAAAUGGAGCAAUUCAUGAUUCGCAAUUUGCUAAAGCUGAAACUAGAUUUAGUUCCACGCUAAAAUUAAAAGUUUAAAAAAAUUAAAACGAUGUGACGGAAAAGUUAGAAGUUUAUAUGUAUAAGAAAAUUCGAUGUGACGGAAAGGUUAAAAGUUUAAAGAAAAAAGUUGUGAGCUAAACAUGCCUAAGCUCAAGCCAUUGCCAUUGCUUUCUACAAACAGUAAGGAAAAGCAGGUGUACUAUAUAAAAGUUUAUGGGAUCGCCUGCAAAUUGCGAUAUAUCGUAAACAAAAGCACCCAGCGGAGCACACCGGUGACCGGUUAACCAAAGAUUAAUAUUUUCAUUUUCAAGCAAAGGAAUACACGAGUUUGCAUUGCGACAAGUACGACCUUGCGUGUGCUCGGGAUAGGUGUUUUGUAUAAAUGUUUCGCCAUAUUAUUAAGUAUUCUCCUUUAGUUUUUUUUCUCUAUCUAGAAAUAGAAUAGAAUAACCCGGUUGAAGGGUAAUGAUCAUACGUCUGUAAUGCAUUGUAUGUCCUAGAAUAGGGCCCAUUCUUCUACCCUUUCCGGGUAGUCGAUGGCUAUUCACAGCUACUACCUUAACACAAAAGAAGAGUUCGACCCAAUGCUUUAUUUCUGUCUUAGUGAAUCCCGAUUCGACAUUAAAAGUAUAUUGAUUCUUUCCCAAUAAACGAAGACUUUUUUCUGUAAAUACUGCGUAUUUGAUUUGCGAAAAGGAACACCACUUAUUAGAACGACAAUUAGAGUAUAUUUAAAUGCCUUGAUAAGUGGGUCUACUUCAUUCUGCGGUACAUGAGCUGGUCACCCUCGGCUCAAAACGAUUCUUGAACAAGUCACACUUUUCGGUUCUCAAAGAAGAAGAUAAGCAUGAAUAUAUGAUGGCUAGAGCUCAAAUCAGUAGACCACAACUACCUAGCAAAAAGUACUCCCUUCGUCCCAUUUUAAACGUAACCAUAAAUUUUCAUGUUCAACUUUAAUAGUUUAUCUUAUUUAUUUUUUAAAAAAAAUAAAAAACAUAAGUCACAUAAAAUAAUAUUCAUGUUUUAUCAUCUAGUAUCAAUAAAAAUAUCAAUCAUAUAAAAAAGUUUUAAAUAAGAUAGACUAAAGUUGGACACGGAAACACAUGAUUGUAUUUAAAAUGGGACGGAGGGAAUAGUAAUAGAUGAAAAGGUUUUACUAUAUAAAUAUCAAGAAUUGUCUGAUUUGAUGCAAGAAAACAUGUAGAAUAAUGCAUAGAAAAGGACCAAUCAAUUAGUACAAUACAAUCCUGAAGUCACAUCAUGCUUAAAAAGCUAAAUUACGACUCGCAAAAGUAUAGACAAUCCACACAAUAAGCAUUGUUUAGUUCUCAAAAUUUUUUUCCCAAAAACAUCACAUCAAAUCUUUGUCACAUGCAUAAAGUAUUAAAUAUAGAUAAAAUAGAAAACUAAUUACACAGUUUGCGUAAAAAUCACGAGACGAAUCUUUUGAGCCUAAUUAGUCCAUGAUUAGCUAUAAGUAAUACAGUAACCCACAUGUGCUAAUAAUGGAUUAAUUAAGCUUAAUAAAUUCGUCUCGCGGUUUCCAGGCGAGUUAUGAAAUUAGUUUUUUCAUUCGUGUCCAAAAACCCCUUCCGACAUCCGGUCAAACGUCUGAUGCGAUACCUGAAAAUUUUCUUUUCGCGAAUUAAACGAAAUGCCUAAGGCUCGACCUUAGCAAAGCUACGGUACAUAACAAGGCAUUUUCUAGAUAAGAGAUACCGACCUGUUUAGCUCGAGCAGAAGCAAUAGCAGAAACAAAUAGACCAUCUGUCAGUCUGUCACUGAAUUUUUUUCUCCCCAGGAAGCUGACACUGGAACUUGAAUAACAGCUUAAAAAGAGUAAAGCCUGAACACAACGAAACACCAGCACCAAAAUUUUCAAAGCCGGUUAAACAAAUUCAAGCACUUCAAAGUUCUCUAGAAAAAUUGUAAAAAAGAAUUAUACACAGACUGACAGACAACGACAAGUCAAUACACUGAUCCCUCAAGCUCACACAUUACUUGGAGUCAAACAGCAAAGUAUGCAAAACCAAGGAAAUAUCUAUUAUCACUAUAUCCUAUUAAUGUUGAAAUAGGAAAAAGAUUAUAAACGAAAUUGCUGUACAUGUAACAUCACAUAACUACAGAAACAAGGGUAUCAGGAUAAGUUUACAUGAACUCAUCACCCAAUAGAACGUUUUGGAACCUUUUUUUUAUAGAAUUUUUAGCUUUGUCCACAACACGCCAAGAUAACAAGCAUUUUACACAAAGCAGAUAUCGACCUUGAGUAGCAAGUAGAUAUAUAAAGAAUAAGUCCGUACAGAUGCUUGUGUUCUAGAAGUCUUGAACUGAAACAAUACAGUGAACCAGUAGGAAUAAAAACUUCCAAACAAGCACCAAAUGCAUAACAAUAUAAUCUCAAUAUUAGAACGUAAAAGGAAAGGAAAUCAACACUCCACAGGAUGCAUCAGCGUUAACAAUAUAAAAGCAAACUAGACUUAAGCAGAGUUUCUCUUUUUCACAACAAGCCAGAAUUUGGCAUAAUAAAGCAAAACUAUGCAUGAGCUUCCCCUGUUAACUGAAAAGAACAAUGCACGAAUUAUUGUAUUGAAGUCAAAGCAGCUUCUUCAGAUGCAUGCAAUGGAACAAUAUUUUCAUGUUUACUAGGACAAUUUACCGAGCAAGCAACCAUCAACAAGCAAAAGAAAAUGCACAAAAACACUAUUAUUACUAGGGGAACAUGCUAAAACAAGAAGCAAUACGGCUCGCCGAAAAACAAGAAGAAGCAAUAUUAAAUAACUUUCUCAUAGUUUCGUAAUAACGAAAAUUCUUCAUAGAUUAAUAGUACAAUGUACAGAUGAUUACACUUUAUACAAUUAACAAUCCUACAAGCCCAAUAAUCAAUUUCCACAACCUAAACUCCUCAACAACCACAUCCAAUACAUAAUUAGAGGAGAUUCCCAACUAAACUUCCCCUAACCCGUCCAGAACAUUACGGUUCUGAAGCAACCUUGUUAGCCCAUGAUCACAUAACAAAAGGAAAACGAUCAGAACAUCUGAAGAGAAAAGAUAUCAGAACAUCUGAAAAUCCCCUCCCAUUGGAGCUUUCACAAAUAACACCAAUCACCUCUGCAAGACCAAAACACACGUUCAGAAUUCAGAAAUCAGAGCGAAGCAAAGAAAAGAACCCAACCACACGAACACAUCGAACGACCCCUUACCUCUUCAAUCUUGUAUGUCUCCGGCGUCAGGUCCGCUAGGCACAAUCCAGGGUACAGCAACUGCAAUUCCCAAAAAAGAAGGAAAUUGAAUCAAACACCGAACUUGGAUGCCCAAAAUUUUGCAAAUUUACAAGCCCAUAGGUUGAAUCCUUACGUCGAGCUGGCGUUGCACGGUGCGGGGGCGCUUCUUGGGCCGGCGCGGGGGGCGAGUCCCGCGGAUCGCCUUGAAGUCCUGGCCGAUCUCCUCCUUGGACAGCACGAUGGAGAACACCCGCUUCUUGGUCGCCGCCAGCGGCGAUGGCGCUCGAUCCGGCGCGGCAUCGGCCGCGUCGUCCGAUCCCUCCGGACGCGGCGCGGCCGUGGCGGAGCGGCGGGUGCGGAGGUUCCACGGCCGCUGCGGACCCCGCUGAGGCGAACAGCCGCCGCCCACGCCGUCGGUGGAGCGGUGGGCCGCCUUCUCCUUGUCCGGCGACGGGGUGUCCGGCGCCGCGGGAGGGGGCGACGAGGCGGGGUUCUUGGAGCAGCGGAGGAGGCGGUGGGUGCCCCAGCUGAGGGUGGGGAACGAGAAGCUGUGGAGCCGCGUGCGCGACGGCUGCGGCGGAGCGGGAGCGGGAGCCGGAGCCGGAGCCGGAGCCGGGGAAUCCUCCGAAGGAGACGAGGAAUUGCCGGCUCGGUGGCGGUCGUGGUCGUCGACGGCGGCCAUGAGGACCAUGGGAGGGAGAGGCCGCGCGAGGAAGGAUGCCAGAAGGGGGGCGAAGCGAAGGAAGCGAGGAACGAGAGAAACACAGAGAGGAGAGGAGGAUGAGGGAGGAGGAGAGAUAGAGAGAGAGAGAGGAGGGGUCAGUUUUGAAAACGGGGAAAGGCGAGUUUCUUUUUGCAUCUGGACCCCCGGGAGAUUCAUGUAUUACCCCGCGGGGUUAUUUCCUUUCUUUUUUUUUUUUGUUUUGGAGCUUGGGGCUUCGGGGACUCGCCUUCGGUGCGGUGCCUCCCUGUCGCGCGCGUGAGAUUGGGACGCGCCGGCGGAUGGGAAAUCCACCCAUCCAUCCGUCCAGUGGUGGGAGCGUGGGCAGGCGGCGUCGCGUUCCGUUUCCUCCCCACGUCGGGUGCGCGCGGCUGCCGCGCGCGGGGGUCGCGGAGGAAACGGGGGCGUGGCGCGGGCGACAUCACGAGGGCUGUGCAAGUUGCCGUCGUCGGGUCGAGCCGCCGCCAUCACAUGCGUCGCCGCGCGCUCGAGGUAGGCAGGCGGGGCGGGCGCCGAGGGGGCCCCCAGGCCGCGCCCAUGGUUCCGUGCGCCUUCUUUGCGGAGGUUUGGGCGUUUGGCGUCCGGGGGGAGUUGUCACUUGUCAAUGCUGGGGCAAAAUUUAGCCGUGGAUAGCAACAGGCCGAGCCAGGGCGGAAGCCGUAGCUACCGGUUUCGCGUUUGGCGACUUGGGUCGCCUUCUCGACGGAACAAUCGGUACGUUUCGAGGCUUGUGCUGAUCUGCUACUCCUAGUUUGCACUUUUGACCAUUUAUUACUCGUGUCGGUUUCGUUUGACAUGUUUUUCUUUUGGGAAUAUUUUAUUUGACAGGUUAGUUCAGGAAAUCAACCGUGGAAUAAGAAUAAGGACGACUAACCGAUUUUGCCAACGAUCAAUUUAUUGAGACAUGUGAUGAUGCGUAGUAAGCAUAAUACUAACCCUGUUCUUGAUAGCUGAAAGUUAUUAUAUUUUAAAAUGGAAGGAGUACAUGUUAACAAAGUUUAACAAUAACAUAUACUCCCUCCGUUUUAAAAUAUUUGACACCGUUGAUUUUUUAGCACGUGUUUAACCAUUCGUCUUAUUAAAAAAUUUAUGAAAUAUGUAAAACUAUAUGUGUACAUGAAAGUAUAUUUAACAAUAAAUCAAAUGAUAUGAAAAGAAUAAAUAAUUACUUAAAUUUUUUUGAAUAAGACGAACGGUUAAACACAUACUAAAAAAUCAACGGUGUCAAAUAUUUUGAAACGGAGGGAGUAUCUUUGAAGAUAUAUAGGAUACCAGUAGUACAGGUUCAUAUCUUCAGUGUAUUGUGCAACUAGGUAAACCCUCAAAAUUCUUCUCUUCUCGUGGGGCACACUAAAAAUUAUUAAUUUUCUUGGUCAACUUCAUUUUCUUUUACAGUAUAUUGCUAGUUCUUGUAGAUAGGCAGUUUCUAAGACAUUAAUUUUUUUCUUUCCAUAAACAACCUUUAUUGGUGCAUUUUGUACAUUUGCUCAAUUUUUUUCCAUGCGAGGAUAAAGGCAUGAUCUUUCAUGCCCAACUUUAAUCAUCCGUCUUAUUUCAAAGUCUUUUGAAAAAAAGAUUAAAAACAUAAGUGUUACAUAAAGUACUAUUCAUAUUUUAUCAUCUCAUAAUAACAAAAUAUUAAUUGUAAAAAAAUCCAAAUAAGACGGACGAUCAAAGUUGGUUGCACUUAAAAUGGGACGGAUGGAGUAUUAUAGAGUUUGGUCAACAAUUACUCUGAAAUCAAACAUUAAGUGCAUAAUCUAAAAACAUUUUUUUUGUGUGAAUUGUAUAAGCUACCAUCCUCGUUUUAUGUUUAGAGAUUGUUUCAUCCCACGAGAAAAGUACAAAACACGCAAAUUGUUAGUUGUUGAUCUAGUGGUUAAAAAAGUCAUUAACAGAUUAGGAGAAACAGUUGCUGAUUCCAAUUUAGCUGGCAUAUAAAUCUGAAGCGAACGUUAGGGAUCAUUUUUCCAGCAACUAGCUGGGUGGCCCGCGCAAUUGCGCGGCUAGCAUCCAUAUAAAAUUAUCUAUUUUUAAUAUGAUUUUAAUUAAAUUUUAUUGAAUAGUUAUCUCAUUAUUUUAAAACUUUUAAAAAUCAAACCAUAUCAUCCACAUGUUUAAUUUUAUAGUUUUUAAAAGUUACAUUUUUCUUUAUUUGCUUGCUCGAUCUAUCACUAUUCCUAUUCAUUCUCCUUGGAAACUUUAAAAUUUUGAUCUUAUAAUUUUUAGAGUUUAUUGUUUCAUUGGGUUUCGUUUUUAUAAUUUUUAAAAAUCCCAUCAAACACUACCACUCUACUCCUCUACUGCCCAUCCGUUGCCUCCUUUCUUCAUUGUUAUUGGGAUUUUUAAAAUCGAACAUAAUUAUUGUUUGGGUUCAUUUGUUAAUUUCUAGAAGUCCCGCCAAACCGUUAGCGGCUUUGCCACUGUACUCUUCUAUGGCCCGUCCGCUGCCUCCCCUCUUUAUUAUCGUUGAGAUUUUAAAAUCGAACAUUAUUAUCAUUGUUUUUUUUUACUUUUUAGAAGUUCCGAAUCUUUAAAAAUAGGACAUGGUAGUUUUUAGAGUUUAUUGUCUCGUUGAGUUUCAUUUUUAUAUUUUUAGAAGUCUCAUCAAACGCUACCACUGUACUCUUCUAUGGCCCGUCUGCUGCCUCCUCUCUUUAUUGUUAUUAGGAUUCUAAAAAUCAAACAUAAUUACUGUUUGAGUUCAUUUUUUUUUACUUUUUAGAAGUCUCAUCAAACGCUACCACUGUACUCUUCUACGGCCCGUCUGCUGCCUCCUCUCUUUAUUAUCAUUGGGAUUCUAAAAAUCAAACAUAAUUAUUGUUUGAGUUCAUUUUUUUACUUUCUAGAAGUCCCACCAAACUAUUAUCGGCUUUGCCAUUGUACUAUUCUAUGGCUCGCAUGCUCCCUCCUCUCUUUAUUAUCAUUGAGAUUUUAAAUUGGAACAUUAUUCUCAUUGUUUUUUUUACUUUUAAAAGUCCCGAACCUUUAAAAAUUAGAAUUGUACUUUUAGAGUUUAUUAUCUUGUUUCGUUUCAUUUUUAUAAUAUCUAGAAGUCUCGUCAAAUGAUGUCACUUCAAAUGAUGUCACUGUACUCCUUUAUAUACCAUUGUUUAGUUCUAAAGAUACAAUUAUAUUACAUAUAUUUAUGUUAUCAAUCUUCACCGUUCUAAUUUGGUUCUACCACAGUCUAACGGCUUUGAAUUUAUUCUUCGAUUAACGUGAUAAUUUAUAUCCUUUAGAAUAAAUAUGGCACAUUCUUUUCGAGUUGUCUUAACAAUAAAGAUUUCUACGUUUUUUUAUGUCUGUGAUGAUUUUCUAAAGCUAUCUUAAUAAUAUAUAUAUAUAUAUACAUAUUUGGCAAAGAAUAUUUACAUAUUUAUUAUUGGUAUUAUAUUUUUGUUACAAAUUUUAUUUUUUAGUUUAUUUUGGAACCCAUAUUUUCAAACGAAAACAUUUUAAUUGUAUCGCUUAAGGUGUGCACCUGGCUAGCUGCUGUGCACAUGCCAUUGUUCCUUCUGUUUGUUGACGUGCAUCGUCCAAUUCCUGCUCAUCGUGCAGCCGCGCGGCUCGACCCGAUGCUGUGGAUUUCCGUUGCUACUAUACAUUAUAGCCUAACUAAUUUAGAACCUAACUUAAGUUUAGGAAAUCGGACAAAACUAUUUUGAGUCCGUUUGCAUGUAAAGGACCUAGUUAGAGAUUGAUUCUAAUUCAGUUAACAUGCCAAGUUUGUGUUAAAUCUUAGACAUUGAAAUCUAUGCCUCUUACAAUCCAACGGUGUAAAUAAUUUAUAUUUUCUUCGAUUAACGUGGGAAUUUUUAACCUCCACGGUGAACGUGGUGCCUUCUUUUCGAGCUGUCUUAAUAAUAUAAUAGAUAGAUGGUGGAUCUAGAGCAUUCUAUCAAGAGCUUCUUCAGAGCCUCGCUAAGCUCUCUAGCGGUGGAAACAUGAUCGCUGUGCACCUUCUGAAUCAUCUCUUCAAUGGCAGAAAGGGCGUCGUCCACCUUUUUCCUCUCGUCCUCGAUGGCACGACGCUUAAGGUAGCGUUUGGUUGGAGGGAUAUACCGGGAUGGGAUGAGAUCAUCCCAUUUUUAGAUGUGUUUGGUUGAGAGGCUAGAAGGGAUGGAAUGGCUCUAAAAGGGAAUAUUCCUUCAAUAUUCGGGACCGAUUCAUCCGGGAAAAAGAGGCGGACCGCGCCAUCCCACUUCCGCCUCGCGCCUCACUCGUCUCGGCGCGGUAACCCUCGCGCCCCACCACAUAUUUUCACCACUUCUAUUUUUUCCCUUCGCUCUUUUCUCUCAUCCUCACGAGUCCGUUUCUAGGGUUAGGGUUAGUGGCGGCGGCGGAAGCGCACGAGGCGGCGGCGCGAGCAGGGCGCGGCGGCGGCGGCGCGCGAGCAGGGCGCGGCGGCGGCGCGAGAAGGGCGAGGCAGCUGCAAGAGGAUUGUAUUGGAGCUAUUGAUGGCACACAUAUUAGAGCCUCUGUUCGUAAGAAUGUGGAGUCCUCUUUUCGUGGUAGGAAGUCCCAUGCCACUCAAAAUGUAAUGGCGGCCGUAGAUUUUGAUCUUCGGUUUACUUAUGUCCUGGCUGGUUGGGAGGGGACAGCACAUGAUGCUGUAGUUUUAAGAGAUGCUUUGGAACGUGAAAAUGGCAUUCAUGUCCCACAAGGUAAUAGAUUACUAUAGUUUAUCAAAUUCUCCAUGACAAAUGUUGAUAUUUAGGAAUGUGACCAACUUAUCGAUCAUAUGAUAGGAAAAUUCUAUCUAGUUGAUGCUGGAUAUGGAGCCAAACAAGGAUUCUUGCCUCCUUUUCGUGCUGUCCGGUACCACUUGAAAGAGUGGGGGAAUAAUCCGGUGCAAAAUGAGGAGUUGUUCAACCUUAGACACUCAUCCCUCCGUAUAACGGUUGAACGUGCAUUUGGGUCACUAAAGAGGAGGUUCAAAGUUCUAGAUGAUGCCACUCCAUUCUUCCCAUUUCGAACUCAAGUAGAUAUUGUUGUAGCUUGUUGUAUUAUUCAUAACUGGGUCAUAAAUGACGGAAUUGAUGAGCUUGUAGCUCCGUCUGAUUGGUCAAGUGAGGACAUUGAUGAAUCGUCAACCGGCCAAGCGAAUGAACAUGCAUUGAUGGUUCAGUUCAGGCAGGGUUUAGCUGAUCAGAUGUGGGCUGACCGUAAUAACCAUCAUGGAGUGUAAUAUGUAGCUAUGCAACUUGUAUUUCUACCUUAUUUGCUACAUUUCAUUUGUAUUAUGAACUUCUUUAUUUAUUUAUUUCGUGUGGACAGCUUGUUAUAGUCCAUUUGCCAAAUCUCAGUUGUAUGGAUAAAUGUAUUGUUGUAUGCUGAAUUUUUGGUUUGAUGAAUUGAUGAAUGUUGAAUUUUUGGGUUAAUAUGUUGCUGGAUGCUAAUAUUCUGGGUUGAUAUGUUGGUGAAUGGUAAUUUUUUUGGGUUGAUAUAUUGCUGAAUGGUCAUUUUCUGGGAUGAUGUGUUGGUGAAUGGUAAUUUUUUGGGUUGAUAUAUUGCUGAAUGCUCAUAUUCCCGGUUGAUAUGUUGGUGAAUGGUAAUUUUUUGGGUUGAUAUGUUGCUGAAUGAUCAUUUUCUGGGUUGAUAUGUUGGUGAAUGGUAAUUUUUUGGGUUGAUAUGUUGCUGAAUUCUCAUUUUUUUUAUUAGAUAUAUUGCUGAAUGGUUAUUUUCUGAGUUCAUAUAUUGUUGCAUGCAUAUUUUAUUGAUAUAUAUAUUACUGAAUGGACAUUUUUGUUUUAUUUUAUGAUAGGUAGGAAAUGGACAACAACAGUGGCAAGGGAGGUCAGCUAUGUCCUCUUUCAUGCUUUCUCACCUAGCUAAUAUUGUUGCUGGUGGCACAAGGACCUCAUCUGGUUUCAAGGCAGUCCAUCUCAAUGCAUGUGCUAGGGCGGUCAAUAAAAGGUUCAAUAGUACUCUCACGGGUGAGCAAAUUAAGAACCAUUUGAAGACAUGGCAAAGAAAGUUCUCGAAGAUAAAUAGGCUUAGGAAAGUGAGUGCUGCUGGUUGGGAUGAGAAAAACUUCAUUAUUACUCUCGAUGAUGAGCACUAUAACGGUUAUAUUGAGGUAUAUGUCUUAUUUUCUGGGUUCUUUGCUUUAUUUUUAUAACUUUUUAUUGCAUUUGCUUAUACAUUAACUUUUGUUUCAUGAAGGAUCACAAGGCUGAUGCGGAUUAUUUUAACAAACCUCUUGCACACUAUGGUGAGAUGCUUACAAUAUUUGGUAGCACCAUGGCUACAGAAAAGUAUGCAAAGGACUCAAGUUCAGUCCUAGGAACAGAGGAUGUCCAAGAUGACAAUGAUGAAGAAAAUGAUGGUCCUGCCACUACUGAUGAUCGUGCGGAGGCAUCAUCUGCAAGUAAGCCAAAGAAAGCAAAAACACAAGAGAAUGAAGAUGGUGGGCUGAUUGGUGCAUUCACUAGUGUUGGUGACAAGCUUGCCUAUGCUAUACUAAAGGUCGCCGAGCCGGACAAUAAGCUUCCAGAAGGUUUAUUUGACACAUUGAAAACCCUUCCUGGUUUUGAGGAGGUCCAUAGAUCAUUUUACUAUGCUCAUUUGGUUGCCAACCCUCACAUUGCUAGAGCUUUCGAUAGACUUCCAUUUGAAAACAAGAUUGGUUUGCUAUGUUCAUUAGUGAAAAGUUCCCUGGAUCAACAUAGGCUUCUUGGAUGAGUUGGAUAGUUCUUUUGGUGUUAUGUGUUGUUGGUUGGCUUAUUUACCUAUUAUAUGUAAGACUUUAAACUGCCAAUAUGUUUGAGGCAGAGAACUUACUAGACUUAAAAUUGCUAUCAUGUGCAAGAAUUAAAUGUGCUAUUAUGUGUAAGACCUUCAGUUGCUAAUAUGUGUAAGACUAAAAUUUGCUAUUAUUAUGUGUGGCUUGUAUUAUAUGUGCACUGUGGAGCUUAUACUGUUGCAGCAAUUAGUAUGGGCAUACAUGAAGUUUUAUUAAAUUCUUUUAAUAACUUAUGGAGCUAUAUUGUUUGCGAACAAAUUCACAAUGGUCAUUUUCAAAUAGUGUGGUGUUCAUGAGUAGGUAUUAUUUUGCACUGUGUGGUAUUCAUGACUAGUUAAGGGUAACCUCACCAACUAAUAUCAAUAGGUAACCCUAUCAAGCAUCCCACCUUCAUCUCUCCAUCCAAACAAUGUAUAGGAUCAUUCCAUCCAUUAUAUCCCUCAAACCAAACAAAAAAAACAGUGCUCGUUCCAUCCCUGUAACCAAACAAAAAAAACAGAAUCAUCCCAUUCCAAAAAAAAUAGGGAUGGACCUAACCCAUCCCACCCUGUUCCCAAACCAAACACUACCUUAAACACUACCUUAUUCUACAAGAAUUCCUCGAGCAAAUUCUUCGCCUUGAUCCUCUCCUUCUCCUCAUCCGCUGCCAUGUACUCCUUCGCCUCCAUAGUCAUCCUCUCGAUCUCCUCCUUGCUCAGCUGACUCUGUUCCAUGACCCUCAUCUGGUUCUUAUGCCCGUUCACCUUGUCCCUCGCAGAGACCGUCAAGACGCCGUCGGCAUCGAUGCUGAAGCACACAGACACAGAGAGCUUCACUCCGGGCUUUGCUUUGCUGUGAGCCCCCGGAAGUUUCGAUCUCGCAGAGGAGAGUGUUCUCACUUGCUUGUGGCCUCUCUCCUUCGAAAAUUGAGAUAACAAUACCUUUCUUGUGAUUGGGCUGGAUGGAGAUAGUAUUCUCCCUCGCCAUGACGGGAAUCGGGGUGUUCUUUGGUAUCAUCACUGCCAUGGCGCCUCCGGCCGCCGCCACGCCGAGCGAGUGCGGCGUGGCGUCGAAUAGGAACAGGUCCACCAAGCUGUCGUCGCUGCCGAGACUGGCCAUGGUGGCAGCACCGCACGCCGCCGCCUCGUCAGAGCUGAUGUCCUUGCGGAGCUCCUUCCCGUCGAACAGGUCCUGAAUCAGACGGCGCACGCGAGGGAUUCGGGUUGAUCCGCCGACGAAGACGACGUCGUCCACGCUGCUCCUGUCCAUCUUGGCGCCCGUGAGGCACUUCUUGAUGGGAUCCAAGCACUUGCAGAACAGGUCCAGGUUGAGUUCGUCGAACUGGUCGCGCGUAAUGGUGGAGUAGAAGUCUGCGCCAUCGUGCAAACGUUCGAGCUCAAUGGCGGCCCAGCUCGCCGACGAGAGCGUCCUCUUCGCCUGCUCGCACGCCGCCCUGAGCCUCAAAAUAGCCCUCGCGUUGCGACCGACGUCUUUCUUGUGCUCUGCCUUGAACUGAGCGACGAAGUGUUCGACCAUGCGGCCGUUGAAAUCCUCGCCGCCAAGGUGGGGGUCGCCGGCGGUCGCCCUGACGGCGAUCUUGCCGGACGCGACGGCGAGGAGUGACACGCUGGUAUGACCGCCUCCAAGAUCAAAGACGAGCACAUUCUUGUCGCCCGCGAUUUCGUGGAUGCCAAAGGCGACGGCGGCGGCCGCUGGCCCGUGGAUGACGCCGAGGACGUCGAGCCCCGCGACGGCGCAUGCGUGCUUGGUGGCCCGGCGCUGGAGGACGUCGAACGACGCGGGCACCGUGACCACGGCGUUCUUGACUGGCCCCCCGAUGUAGGCCUCGGCCUCUGCCUUCAUCUUUGAGAGCAGCAUGGACGCGACCUCCUCCGCGGCGAGCAGCUUCUGCUUGCCCUUGUAGCUCGCGGCAACCAUCGGCUUGUCGCCACGGCCCGGGACAACCUUGAACGGCCACAGCUUCAGGCCGUCCUGCACGGACGCGUCACUGAAUCUUCUCCCCAUCAAUCGCUUCGUAGCUAGUAGACGGCAGGCAGUUGAAUGUCAGGGCCGGUCGAAAGAGUACGAGACGAUAUGCAAAAAGACGGAGAAGGGGCGAUACGACAACGGACUCACCGAAGACGGUGUUGGUGGGGUUCCGGGAGGCCUGGCUCUUGGCCGCGUCGCCGACGAGCCUCUCCGUGUCGGUGAACGCCGCGUACGACGGCGUGGCCCGCCCGCCAUGUUCGUUGGUCACGAUCUCCGCGCGGCCGUUCUGCCACACGGCCACGCACGAGCACGCCGUGCCGAGGUCGAUGCCGAUCACUGGACCGUGCUGGUCGCCCGUCUCUGCCAUCAUGAGAAAUUCAGGGGAGCCGAAGCGAUGGGGUUGGGGAGAGGUGACAGUGACACCGAACCACCGAGCAACUAUUAAAGGAAGAUUUGAGGAGAAUCAAUUAGGAGAUGAACCGAUCGAGAGCUGGGUUUGGGUAUGACGCUUCGGCCUCUCAACGGAUGCCCGUUGCUACCAGCAGCGUACGUUCGCAUUUCGCAAUCAAAGCGACCAUGCAUUCCACAGACGAACUCUAGCCAGCCCCGGAAUACAAAACGCCGAAGAUACUUCCUGGUCAGGAGAUGACUCGUGUUCUGGAGCACGCUGCCUUGUUGCAUGUACUUACUCCGUUUGUUGCAUGUACUUACUCCGUUUCAUAUUAUAAGGGCACCCGCAAUGGUUAUUUAUAGGCUCUCUACAAGAGGUCCAUAUCAGUAUAUUUUUCUACUUGGAAGAGAUUAAAUGAAGAGAGAGAGAGCAAAGCUAUCUACUAACCUAGAGAUAAUCUAUAGAGAAAAACGAGGCAAUGCAUUAGAGAGCUAUAGAUACCCAUGUAGACAUGCUAUUGAGGUGGUUUACUAUUAAUCUAGUCUAUUGCUAGAGAGCACCUUACUUUACCAUUGCGGGUGCUCUAAGACUUUCUAGCAUUGUCCAUAUUCCUAUGUAUGUUAAUGAAUCUAGACACAUUCAUUAAUAUCUAUAUAAAUGUGGAUAAUGCUAGAUAACCUGAAAUGGAGAUAGUAGUCAAGUCUGUCGCCCUAAACAGCAAGGAGGUUUGGGAAUAAGAAGCAUUCAGGCUCAAAAUGAUGCGCUCCUCGAAACCUCUUUUAGAUAGACUCGUCCUGGGAUACAUGGCUGUAGAAUGAAGUGAGAUAGAUCAAAAACCUGGUAAGCAUGUGACUUCACUGGACGUCUAGAAUUGUUGUUUUAGCUUGAAAAAAUGUUUUAUCCCGCUCCGUAAAUUCUGAUGAUCAGUAAUGACAUGCCGCUGGCUGUGCCCGACCUCAUAUAUAACCUUGUAACCUACUCCCUCCGUCCAAAAAAAAGACAAACCCUGAGUUUGCAUGUUCAGAUUGUCUUUUUUUUUUACGGAAGGAGUAAUGUUUACUUCCAUUUUCAAUGGAAGAUUCAUGUGAGGAAUCUCUCCCCUCUGAUAAUUUCUUCAAAAAAAAAACAUUUUUACACUAAACAGUCUAAAGUUCUACCGAGUUUUUUAACAAAGAAAUUGUUUUGGCGUAUAUGUAUGAGAUUCAAGCGUAGUAUAUAAUGUGAUGCUACUACUCUAAGCGCGACACUUUAGCACGUUAAUUUGGUCUGUUUCAAUUACACACCGUGGCAAAGGCGUUCUAGAUUGUUUAUGCAGGGAAAGUCUAUUUGUCCUUAAGGAAUGUAGUCUAAAAAGAUAUUAUAAUUGAUAAGAUACUAGAUCAAUACUUGCUUUUUUUUUGAUAAAUUUGUGAUAUUAAGUUAAAUCUGCUGUUUGAUACGAUAGAAGUCAAAUUUAUAAUUACAUGUUAUUGAUUGAUUUUCUUUUGAACAAAAAAUAAUGAUAGACGAGUCUUCGAGGUAGGGAUGUAAAUGGGGCGGACAAGCAGAUUUUUUUAGCCCGCUUAUCUCAUUUCUAGUUUAUUUUUUCUUCUAAAUUUUAUACUAUCAUAUGAGAAAUAAACUAGCAAACGAGUUUUUACGUGGGUAGUAGCGUUACUAUCACUUGCAUCCCUACUUCGAGGUACGAUCGAAAAUAACGAUCUCCAUCGUUCUCCCCGGCCAUAUGCGCGAUGCUUCCCCCAGCGUGCGUGACCGCAUGUCGACCGUGGGCUUUUCGAAGGAACCACGUGCAGGUGCAUCCUCUGUCUGCAAACAACAUCUAGCUAGCUCUCCAAUCCAUGCACCACUCACGGUCCACGGCACGGUUACUCUUGCAACCAAAGCAGCGAGAAGAAGGUGUCCAUAUCAACCGUGCAAAUCCAAGCCACCAGCCGCAACUGCAGCUAGAGAAACCCAGCUAGCGAGAGGCAAAUUAGGGCAUGUUCAAUGGUAGAGACGAGUAUGUUCUCUUAAACAAUACAAGAUUAUUUAGAGAUCAUAUCUUUAUAAUAGUUGAGACAAUAAAGGCUCUAAUCAUUAACUCAAAAAAUAUUCCUUUUGUUAAUAUUAUUUCCAUAUUUAUAUCCUCAUGCAACCAUAUUUCCAUAUUAUAGUGACUAAGAGUCGUUGUUAAGCCGUUGUCAUGCAUAACAACGAUGUUUUGUAUCUCCUCUUUCUCUUUCCUCCAUGUCAACAAGUAUUCCUAAUUAGCAACGCUAAGAGACCACUAUUAACAACCAUUAUACAUGCCCUUGAACCAGAUCGAAGUUUGACGCCAGCCAUGAGAAACGACGUGAACCUUUGCAAAAUCUUACCGGCGACAACGCCUCCAUCCAUCGAUGAUCGAUCACCCUUUGGCGUUCUCCAUCGAUCGUCUGCGAGACUGCGAUGCAUAUAUGCUGUGCCUGGGAUGUGGUGGUUGGUCUCGAGCCUUGACGCAACAUACGCAAUCUGACGCUGACGGCCUGACGAGCGACUUGUACACGCACGUACUGAUGCCGCCCCGGAAGAAUUAAGAAGGACGUACGACUACAAUUCCUCGGCCGGGGUUAGGUCGUGCUUGGCGUUUAAUUUGUGGCAAAUGCGACGUUGAUUGGGCUGGCUAGCUCUUGAUGAUCAUAACCUGCGGCACAGAGGAUUAUCCUGUUGUGCUAGGCUGACUGAAAGGGAGAUGCCUCCCGAAUCCGAUGGAGGAGUUGCUAGUAGUACUAGCUUGUUGCUUAUUGUUGGCGCCUGUUUCACUUUGAUGCUAUUUUCAACUAUAUUAUUUUUGAUAAAGUUGUCAAGAAAAUAUAUACGUUUAGUUUGUUGUCAAAUUUGAUAAAUGCGUAAGAAAUUCUACAAAAAUUUUGAUAAUAUUGUCAUCUUACCAAAAUUUUGGUAUUGCUAAAAUUGAUAAGGUUUAUUUUGGCUAUAAUCUGAACAAGUCCUUGAUGUUGAUGGUUAUGAUAUCCGUCUGAUGAUUCAUUUUCUCGUUUUACCAUCGGAGACUAUAUAUAGGACGGUUCUGUUGUCUUAUCAAGUUCAUUAAUAGCAUGUCUACUUUGGGCUUGUUGCUUAGCUCUAGGCUUAAUCAGACGUACUGUAGGACGAAAUAAUCAACAAAGAUUGUGUGUGCUCAUGUAUGAUGUAUCAAUGGAUAAAAUGUCAAUGGAUAUAUGAUAUAGUAGUACAAUA
Molecule: long non-coding RNA, 49058 nt
Filed under: Oryza sativa (Asian cultivated rice)
Lineage: Eukaryota; Viridiplantae; Streptophyta; Magnoliopsida; Poales; Poaceae
Description: long non-coding RNA (OSAT_LNC001233)
Rfam family: MIR812 microRNA precursor family (bases 38243-38427)
Source: RNAcentral